AAACCUGUGUGCUCUGGUCCAAUGGGCUGGCUAGUUGUCUCAUUGUGCAUGCGUGACUGUAUGACAUAUGUGCAAGCGGCAUAAAAAGAGGAGAAAGAAAAGGCAACACACUAUGUAAGGUGCCACCACAGGAUCGAUAUCUAAUAUUCCCAAAUCCCAAAGGCCAUACAACAGAGCGAAAAGCUAGCUACAAGAAGGUGUCCAGGUUCAAUGCACUUCGAUCGAUCCACAUCGUCCAAAGUUGAGAGACCCAGAUGAUGGCCAGUUUCAAAGCAGGUGAGACCAUCAGAGCUGCUGAGCCUCUGAAAGGGCAUGGGGAUGGAGAUGCUUGGGGUAUAAGUAUCUUUGCAGAAGCGCGAGGAUGAUGGCGACGCGGCGGGAGCUUUUCUUCUUCCUCCUCAUGCGGUAGGAGGAAGAGGAGAGGCCGUCGGCGUCUCGCAUGGAGUUCCCCCAUUCACACUUCUUGGCUGUCUAGUUCCUCGUCGUUCGUUCAGGUAGGGAGGGUUUUGUUCCUGUAAUUCCCUUUGUGUUAUUCCUCGUGGAGGAGGGGUUGCAUCUUCUCCUUCUCUUCUUGCUGCGUGUUGUCGUCGCAGCUUGAUUGUAUGUUUUUUGUAUCAGGGCAUCUCGUCUCUUUUGGACAGUCCGUGUGUUUCUUUCGUCAUGUGUUUUGUUUGGACGACCUCCGGAAAUGCAUGCAUGCGUGUGUUUUUCUCGAUGCGAUGAUGAUUGUAAUUGCGGUGUCUAAACUACAGAGCGUCACAAGAAUGUACUCUGAUUCACAGCGUUGUCGGUGACAUUCAGGUUACAAUGGCAAAUGUUGAGUUUCACAUGACACGAUUAGCUCAGCAUCAACUCGAUCACCCAUUCCACAGCAAACACGACAGCUCAAACCAAUAAAUAAGGCAUGCCAUAAGCUAAUUCCGUUCAUUCCAGGGUGGCAGAGUGAAACAGGUUCAGCUAACCAGGCUACUACAGUGUUUCAACAGAAUUUCUUCCAUGCUAUGCAAACGCCACCGUCGCAAAGAGUUCCACAUAGCCACUACAUGCCCAUAACAGAGUUCAGUCUAGCAGACCUCCGUUUGGAACUUGAGGCAUGCCCAUGCUUAACAGCUCCUGGUAGAGCAGUUUGGCGUAAGUAGGGGACGGUGAUCCUGACGAUGUUCUCCGAUGAGCGCUAGAACCUGCAGUAGGGGCUCCGGAUCUUCCGCCCGCCCGCGACAGGCGCAUGAUGAUGCUCAGCGUGGAGGGCCGCUCGUGGAGGUUGCGGCCGCGCCGUGGGCCAGCAGGCAGUCGCGCUCCACUCCCCGAACUUGACCCCGCCCAACCUCUUGCUGUCCGCGACCAGCUGCCUCGAGCGGGUGCACCGGGCCCGUGUUCCGGAACUUCACCUUGUCCUCUGCCAUGUGGAUCAUCCUCUGGUAGAAGGUGGGGUCCGUGAAGAUCAGUGACUGCAUCUUUUUGCCGGUUUGGCCGUUUGAGAACACUUUCACCGAGAACUAGGCGGUACCCUAGUAGCAACCGGCAAGGCUCGCAGUGGUGCACCCUGCGACCAAGGUUCGACUCCCGUCGGGAGCGGAUUUCUGACACCUCACCCGGGUGUCCUGGGUGCUAGUACACACAUGCAUAUCUCAUUUUUUUUAGAACACUUCCGUCCCCUCUUGCAAACCCGAACCUAGAAUACAACAAGAUGCACCAGUUUUAGACAUUUAAUAAAGCAAUAACAUUUUACAGGUAUGUAGGAUGUACUGAACUGGUAACUGAACUCAGAACAUAUGUCCAGCAUAACUAUGCAGUAUCAUGUUACAUAGGUAGUGGAAGUACAAAUGUCUCAUUUUAACGAAACACAUGAUGUUACAUCGUACUACUAAAGAAAAAGUGAUGUAGAUAUGAGAACACACAUGGCGAGAUUGAAGGAAAUAAUAGAGUAUGUCUGAUUAUUUUAUCUGUAGAGCUAGAGUUGUUGACAUAAUCAAACCAUGUAUUACAUGGUAAGAUCAAAGACGACAUUGAUCAAUUUCUCCCGACCGACUGGGAUCCCCUUCCCUCCCAUGUAGCUCCCGCGACCGACCCAGAGGGGAAACCCUAACCACCGGCAUAGUUCGCCCCCCCUCCCCUGCCGCCGCCGGCUCACACUGACGGGCAAAGACCAAUCAGUGUCACGGCCUCUCUUCCCCUUCCCGAUGGUGGCCAGCGCGGUCUAGUGUGAUCAGGCGGGUUGUGUUUGUAGAGGGUGUGGAGGCACUGCGCAGGCAGUGGCGACGGUCCGUGGUUGUGGGGGUCUGCGUGUGGAUCGCCCGGAGACGUUGCGGCGGCCAUAGUCGGGUGGUGUCUUCUACACAGCGUUGUGUGGUGCGCGUAGACGUGGGGGUGCGCGCCCUUGGCCGCAUGGGUGGCAGGCCGGCGUCGUGUGUGGAGCGUGCUCUCGGGGCCUCCUCGUCGAUCCUUGGAGCUGAUCUGGAGAAGGUGGUAUCCUCCCUCGAUCCUCUUCCUGCCUUGCUGGCCCGCAAGGCGACCUUCGGUUGGUCUAAUCUAGUGGCUGGGUGGCAUUGGUGGUGUUGGGGGCUAUGGAUUGAGGGAAUCCCUUUGUCGGUUUCAACUGUCGUGAUACAAGCGACGCUCCGGGUGUCAUUCCCCUUCAUGUAGGCAACAUCGAAAUCCUACCCCUGGCCUCCACCUCCAAGUCCCGGGUGAAACUCCAAAAUCCCAGGAUUGUGUGGCCACUACACGCAGGCGUCAUUGUACUUCUUGAAGGCACCACAUCCAUCUUGGGACCGUGGAGUGCUGGUCGAGGCUUCGUAAUUGGAACUUGACUACCUGGAUCUACAGAGGUGCUCCCGCUCGGCUGCUUGUGGUUGACGUUGAUCCUUGCUAGAUAUGGUGGCGAUGUACAAGAUGUUUCUUAGUGAGGUAGGGUAGCUGUGUUAGCCGUCCUCUCCCCAACAACCUAUUGGUCCUAGUCAUAUGAGCUUGGGGUGAGCGGCUCUGCCUGCCGAGGGUGCAACAUCCUCCGAUCCAGGGCAAGAGUGCAGGGGGCUCCUUCGGAGGCAAAUACAGAUGGCGGACAAACUAUGGUUGGUCUCAUGGGAGUUGAUGAGCAUGUGUUUCCUCCGACGGCGGGCUUCUACCUUGUCUUGGUCAUGUUGAUAGAAGGAUCUUAGUUUGUCGAGGGCCUUAAUACCCAAAUUUGUUCUUGGUGCACUCAAAGCUCGUUAGUGGCUCAUUCAGUAUCAUGUAUCUCUGCCCUUUUUUUCUAUUGUAAAGGUUGUUGUGUGUUGGGUUGUGGCUUUAUCUAUAAAGCGGGGUGAAUGCCUUUUUCGGAGAAGAAUUUUUCAUUAUCAUUUGAGUUAUGAUUUAGAGACUGCAAUUUCUACAUUGAAAAGUGUGUCAUCAAAUCUGUUGAAAUGACACCAUGUGAGAUAUGGUAUGGUAAGACAAACGAGUUUGCCUUUUCCUAAAAUUUUGUAAUAUAAGACAUAUGUAAAAAAAUUACAUGUCUAUCCCAAAUCAGUUAGGUGCUAGUUUAUAGGUUAUUCUAUAAUAUUGGGUAUUCCUCACUGCACCAUGGCAAAAUGUUUGCCACUAAGAACAAUGUGUUUUGAAGAAAAUAUUUCUUGCAAAAUAAUAAGUGGGAAGAUAGUGCAGCUUGACGAGAUUAGAGAAUCUUCGCCAUUGGAUCAAAUGAAAGAAAUGUUGGAAGUGGUUCCAAAAGUUUCCCACUACAACUGCUAUUAAAAUCUCCUCAAUAACAACGGGGAGAGCAUUAAAACCAAGCAUCUCCACGAAAUCAGUGAUGAAGUCUUCCUUAUCUCAGGAGUGAGCAAACGCACAAUCAUUGUCCAUAUUCCAUUUGAACUAUGCCCUCUUAUCCAUAAGAGUCAUUCUAGUCAUGUAGUUACUUGCUACACAUGUAUCAUCUACAAACAAAGUGUCACUAACCGCAUAAUCAUGUCACCCAAAGCAACAACAGCAAGCUGCCAAAGCCAUAUAAUGGUAAAAUGGCCACUAACCCCAACCACUUAACUCAUAGUGUUAAAAAAACACCAGCCAUUUAAACUUUUUGUAAGUAGCAUUACUGGUACUACAAUGUAGCUUUGGUUUAACAGCGAAAUCACGAGGAAAUCUUUUUUGGCUUAGGUUUAAAUAAGGAAGAUAAUAUCACUCUCUCAUCUCAUAAAUUAUCACCCUCUAAUUAGAAUCAGAAAUUAAAUUUGUAAUAGCAUCAGGGUGAAAGCUAUUUAGCUUUGCUCGGUAUUAUAUUUUUUGCUAUGUUUCCCCAUUCUAGUACUAAACAAAUCACUUCUAGAUUUUUUAGGUCAUUAAUAAUAGAAAUAGAGUACUGUAUUUAUUAAGUAACUAGGAACAUUAUUUAGAACAACAUGUAUAGAUGUGUAUAUUGGCCAAUUCUCCAGACACUCUUUCAUUUGGGCCUGAAACAUGUGAGUGACAAAGAAAAAUAAACAACCCAAAAUAGGAGCGCAUCCACUCACCGGUGCAUUUCAUCAAGGAGGUGUGCACGGAUGCUACAAAAUGAUAUUCUCCCACCCCUUCCCUAUUAGACAAAAAACACUUAGAUUAAACCUAAAGAUCAUUAAGAGCAUAUUUUGAUGAUGCGAUGUAAAGUUGUUGAAAGGACAUGUUGAUACCUAAACAUGGUUUCAAAGCAAAAUCGUGUUGGUUCAGUUGAAACAACAUCCAUCAAUUGCUUCGUGAUACCAAGAGUUCCCCGAAACACUUCACGGUGGUCUUUCGAAUAAUGCCUUGUCAAGUGCUUACAAGGAUCCCAUGAUAAGACAAAACUUUCUUUAUAUUGAUCAUAUCUCCUGGUUCGUGAUCGACAAUGAGUAAAGCUUGGCAUCACCAAGAGUUCCCCCAAACACUCACAGUGGCAUUUGUAAUACUGCCUCGUGAAGUGCUUGCGAGGAACCCACGGUAAGACCAAACUUGCUUUGUGAUGAUCGUCUCCUUUGGUUCUUGACUGCAUUGAGUAAAUCUUGGCAUCACCAAGAGUCGUUCCCCCAAACACUUCACAAUGGCAUUUGAAAGAAUGCUCAUGAAGUGUUUGCAAGGAACCCACGGUAAGACCAAACAUGGUUUGUGAUGAUCGUCUCCUCUGGUUCUUGACUGGCAUUGAAUAAAGCUUGGCAUCACCAAGAGUUCCCCCAAACACUUCACAAUGAGAUUUGAAAGAAUGCUCGUGAAGUGCUUGAAAGGAACCCACAGUAAGACCAAACAUGGUUCACCAUUAGCUUAGCUCUUCUGGUUCGCGACCAGUAUCUCGUAAAUGCUUGAUUACACUAAGAGUUCCUCCAAACACUUCACAUAAGCUCUCAAAAAGGUUCUUCGUAAAGUGUUUGAAGGGAACUCCUAGUAAUACCAAACGUGAUAUGUAGUACAUAUUGUGUAGUUUAUGACCUGCAAUAUCUGCUAAGUACUUUGUUGGACCAAGAGUUCCGGAAACACUUCACAAAGAUAAUACCUGAAAAAGGUGCUUCAUAAAGUGCUUGAAGGGAACCCUCGGUAAUACAAAACAUGAUUCUCUAGUGAAUCUCUCAUGGUAUGUGGGCAAUGUCUACUGAAUGCUUGGUGACACCGAGAGUUCCCCCAAACACUUCAGAUAAUUUCUUGAAAAGACGUGUCCUGAAGUGCUUGAAGAGAACUCCCGACGAGGCCAAACUUGAUUAAUACCCACGCACCUGUGCAUCAUAUGUAUAUGGACCCACCCCUAUAAUUUCCAAAGCACAAACACUCUCAAAUCCUACUGAUACUAUUGGUUGCCACCCAGAGUUCCCCCAAACACUUCACUAUGCAAAGCUCUAUAUCCCCUCAAUGCACACUUUUAAAACAGUGGCAAUGCAACAAUGGGGUAGCAUGAGCUAGCUACUGAAGUGAUUUGAGAAGAACUCCAGGUAACAACCAACCUAAGUAGGUAGCUACAGCUCUUGUUCAUCUCCCAUGGACCACACAUCACUGACUUGUUUAAUCUGCCAUGCGGCGGCUAUUUAUAAGUCUAGAGGAGAGACUAAAGACCUAAUAGCAAACUUGUUGCCUCCUGUGGACUGCAGCGUGCAAUGCAGUACAUGAUCUUGGUGCUGGGUCGAUGAACCUGGCAGUGCACCUAGACGUGAUGCUGCCUAGGUUAGAAGGAGGUGGCUGCUGGAGCCAAGGGAACCUCGUGAGAUGUGGCCUUUUCUGGCCAAGAUUGGCAGCUUCGAAUCGUGCAAAAGCUCAUGGUGUAAAGAUGCAUGCUCAGCCUGCAAAUUCCUUAUCUCCUCAAGCAGCUAGCAAGAGAUCAGCGUCGUCGGUGGCAUCGCUCAGUUUGUGUCCACGAACAUUUCUGUCAGCGCGUCCAUGCAAAGGAAUGCAGGGAUCACGCUAUAAUUAUGAUUAUCAUCCCAUGCAACUGGUGCAAAGCUUGAGCCGGCCAGUUGCAAGAAUGGGACCAGACGUGUGAGCUAGGAUGCCAGGCAAUCUUUGCUAGUAGUAAUAAUUUGCUGCAAGAAAAUGCUCUGUCGAUCUCAUGGGUGAAUAUUUUCAUUGCAGUAGUGAUGUGGUGCAGUAUCUUGAUAAAGUCUGUAUAGCUCAUAAAGAACUUAGGUAGAAGAAAAGUAAUCAGGAAUUUAGGUAGAAGAAGAAGAGAAAAUGCGCUUUCCCGCCCUCUUCACCCAUGCUUUGGAUGUGGAGGUGACUGUCGGGCAGGUGCGCGCGGGGGGGCUUGCCCGCUGCCUGGUGCCCGGCGACGAACGCGAGCUGGCGGAGGUCUCUGCUCUCCUGGCUGUUGCGCCAAUGAGGUGCGGAGGGGACGUACGACGACUCUGUCAUGCCGCCGCCCCCAAAGGCUCUGUCAUGACGACAGNNNNNNNNNNNNNNNNNNNNNNNNNNNNNNNNNNNNNNNNNNNNNNNNNNNNNNNNNNNNNNNNNNNNNNNNNNNNNNNNNNNNNNNNNNNNNNNNNNNNNNNNNNNNNNNNNNNNNNNNNNNNNNNNNNNNNNNNNNNNNNNNNNNNNNNNNNNNNNNNNNNNNNNNNNNNNNNNNNNNNNNNNNNNNNNNNNNNNNNNNNNNNNNNNNNNNNNNNNNNNNNNNNNNNNNNNNNNNNNNNNNNNNNNNNNNNNNNNNNNNNNNNNNNNNNNNNNNNNNNNNNNNNNNNNNNNNNNNNNNNNNNNNNNNNNNNNNNNNNNNNNNNNNNNNNNNNNNNNNNNNNNNNNNNNNNNNNNNNNNNNNNNNNNNNNNNNNNNNNNNNNNNCCUCCAUGAUCUGGGAGGAGCGUGCUCCCUCGCGGGUGAAGUUCUUCUGCUCUUCUUUGAUGAUGGAUCUGGUAGGCUGUGUCUUCUCCAAGUCCUGGAGUUUUUGGCAACGACAUGCCGUGCUUUGCCGUCGUUUCCCUCUCCUGAGCCGGCUGUCGUCUCCUCCUUGGCUCUGUGCGUGCAAGAGGUCGCUGGCAUCUCCAAGCAUUUGCCUUUUCUCUAGCUUGGUGUAUGUGAGCAUUGUGAGCUGCUCCCCGGCGUCUUUGUACCUUUCGCCGUUUCUUUGUUUCUUUUUCUUUAUUUGGCGUGUGGUUGUAAUCUUGCACUGUAAUCCUGGCCGGUUGAUGGCUUUGUUAAUUCAAAGUCGGGCUCAUCUGGAGCCUUCAUUCUAAAAAAAAGAAGUUCUUCUGCUGGCUACUGAUGCAGCGACGUAUACACACAAGGGACGUGCUGCUCCGGAAGUGCAUCGUCGAAGCGGAAGGCGCUGGCUGCCCGCUUUGCCCAGCUGCCCUGGAAACUGCGGACCAUCUGCUCUUUGCCUGUCCAUUCGCGACUGACUUUUGGCGGAGCGUGGAAAUCGCCGUGGACGGCGUCACUGUCUGCAAACUCUCUGCUCUUACAACUGCAGCUGCGGUGGCCGUCGGCUCUGCAGUGGAAUUCUCCAUGCUGUGUUGUUGGCAGCUCUGGAAGCACCGCAACGCUGUAGUUUUUCAGCGGCUGCCGCCGUCUCGUGCUCGCCUGCUCUGCUGCUGUCGGGAGGACGCGGUUCUGUGGCGUGGUCGGCUGCCUGUAGCUCAUCGCCCGCAUGUGGAUGCUUGGCUGCGCGCGCUCUCCCCAUAGCGCGCGUGGUGCGUGCCCGUUCUGGGCCCUCUCUCUCGCUCGCUUUGUAAAGACAGGGGGUCGUUUGUAACUUCAAAAAAAAUGCGCUUUCGGGUGUGAAAUAUUGAACAUUUGGCACCGUUAUCCAGCAGAGUUCAAGCGUUUUUGUACAUUUUAUUAAACAGUGGGUUCAGUACCUUGAUGGCUUACUAAUGUACCAGUGCUAGUAGUGCUUUUCAGUUUUCACAGACAGUGGCUUCUUUGAUAACAGAAGAAUCCAUGUUGAGAACAGAAGCGGAGAACUAAGCUUGAGAUAAUCAUAUAGGAGUACGUACCUAGAUAAAGUAUUUUCACUUGUCGUUUGCGUACGUGUCUGCAGUCGGUGGGACUUCAUGUUUCAGCAAUUUAAUUAAAGGCCAUCUAGUACUUCUCUUUCGAAAAGAUUAAAGGUCAGCUAUUAGAUCCACAAAUAAUGCUUAAAACUAGGACACAUUUAGUGAUGCCACAUGGACCUAAUCUGGUAUUUUCCAUAAGUAAACCUGUCUGCUCUGGUCCAAAUGGGCUGGCUGGUUGUCUCACUGUGCAUGCGUGACUGCAUAGUAUGGGCAGGCGGCAUAAAGAGAGGGGAGAUGAAAAGCUUGUGACACUGAUGGCAACACACUCAUCACAGAAUCGAUGACUGAUAUUCCCAAAUCCCAAAUGACAUACUCCUACAACAGAGCGAAAAGCUAGCUACAAGGUGUCCAGGUUCAAUGCACUCGAUCCCUGUCGUCGUUCAAAGUUCAGACCCAGAUGAUGACUAGCUUCAAAGCAGAGGAGAUACUUGGAAAGGGCGUGGCGAUGGAGAUGGAGAUGAAGAUGGAGAUACUUAGGUAUAAAUAUCUUUGGAGAAGCAUCGAUCAUUCGCAGAGGCGAGAUGACGGCGAUGCGGCGGGAGCUUUUCCUCUUCUUCCUAAUGCCGUCGUCGUCGUCGUCCUCGCAUAAUGUUAGAGAGGCCGCCGUCGUCGUCCUCGCAUGGAGUUCCCCCAUUCGCACUUCUUGGCUCUCUAGUUCGUCGCUAUCAGUUCGAUCAGGUAGGGAGGAGGGUUUUGUCCCUGUGAUCUCCCUCGUGAUUUUCGUAUCCUAGGGGAGAUGUGGUUGUAUCUUUUCCUUCUCCACUUGCUGCGUGUUGUUGUUGCAGCUUGAUUGUAUGCUUGUUUAUCAGGGCAUCUCGUCUCUUUUGGCUACUUGUGUGUUACUUUCGUCAUGUGUUUGUUCGGAUGAACUCCGGAAAUGCAUGCUUGUGUGGGUUUGUUUCUGGAUGCGAUUAUGUUUAUAGCUGCGGUGUCUGAACUUUGAUCCAAAUGUACGAUCCAAAUGCACUAUCACGCCACAGUAAUGUACUCUGAUCCACAUAGUUUUCGGUCACAUUCAGUUUACAAUCUCCCGCAAAAGAAAAAAAAAGACAUUCAGGUUGCAAUGACGUGCUGUAAUUCACACGACAGGAUGAGCUCAGCUCGAAACCCUAAACCCAUUCCACAGCAAACACGACCAGCUCAAACCAACAAGGCGUGUCCACACCCACGGAUGACCUUAACCAGCUACAUGUCCAUAAGUGACCAUAUAGAUAGAUAUAAAAAGUUUUCUUUUAGACAACACUAGUGGAAAAAGGCUCAUUUGUUCCGGUUCCAGAUGCCCAUUUGUCCCGGUUCAGGAUCCGGGACUAAAGGGUCGGGAUUAAAGCCCAUGACCUUUAGUCCCGGUUCGCUCACGAAUUGGGACAGAUGGGGCUCCACGUGGCCGCUGCGGCUUGCCCAGGCAGGAGGGCCUUUAGCCCUGGUUGGUAACACCAAGCGGGACCAAAAAGCAUCCACGCGUCAGCANNNNNNNNNNNNNNNNNNNNNNNNNNNNNNNNNNNNNNNNNNNNNNNNNNNNNNNNNNNNNNNNNNNNNNNNNNNNNNNNNNNNNNNNNNNNNNNNNNNNNNNNNNNNNNNNNNNNNNNNNNNNNNNNNNNNNNNNNNNNNNNNNNNNNNNNNNNNNNNNNNNNNNNNNNNNNNNNNNNNNNNNNNNNNNNNNNNNNNNNNNNNNNNNNNNNNNNNNNNNNNNNNNNNNNNNNNNNNNNNNNNNNNNNNNNNNNNNNNNNNNNNNNNNNNNNNNNNNNNNNNNNNNNNNNNNNNNNNNNNNNNNNNNNNNNNUAGGGGUUUCAUAUAUUGUGUUAGCUAGCUAAUAGAGAGAAAUGACCUCUCUUAUCUCCAUGCUUGGUCGACGCUACGUACUAUACGUAUAGAGGACUCGACACGCUAGAUAGUAAGAAAAUGAAGGAAACCAUUAAGUACAGAAGAUCGUCAUGAACAUAUACAGAGAGAAGUGAUCGACCUCUCCUUCUCCGAGAGAUUGGUCGAACAACAAGUUUUCGUAUAUAUAUCCGACGCGACUAGCUACAUAUAUACAGUAUAAGAUCUAUUACAAUCAUUAAAGUCUGAAGUCAAGUUCCACGUCGUAUUCUCUGGCUUUAUUGAUGACGUGGUCAAGAAAGAAUCCCGUCAAUUCCUCUUGAAUUGCUUUUAUGCGAUCAUGUGGUAGGAGCUCAUCCCGCAGCUGCCAGAUCUAAAUCGAUGAAGAGGGUCAAUACAUGUGUAUGAAUGAAACUCAACGCAAAUGAUGGUAAUAAAAUACAAUUGCGAAUAUUUUUGCUUACGCACUUGAUAUUGUUUUUCAGUGUAGCCCCGCUUAUUCUUGGUUGUCUCAUUGUAGAUGAACUCGCAAAAGUAGUAUCCACAUAAAUUAUUUCCUUGUUCCUGCCACAAGCAUUUUACGAGAAAUAGAGGUCAAUCAAACUGAUAAGCAAGCAUGCUAAAUGCUAUUGAUGAAACUAGCUACAAUCAAUGGGAGAUGCGCGGAACUAGGUAGUAGUACUUACUUUCGGUUGUUUAAAUGUCAGCUCGGUCGGCAGUCCCGGAGAAAUUGCGGUGAACUCUUUCCAAACUCUGUCUGACAAAGAAAAUAAUUACUUGACACUACUAGGGAAAACCUUAUACACAGAAUCUUAGCAGCAGCGCGGCUCCAAAAGAGGCGCUACUGCUAAUUAUCAGCAGCGCGUGCGUGCAAAAUUCGCUACUGAAACGGAGUUAGCAGUAGCGCGCUUGGAGCAACCCACGCUGCUACAAAUAUCGACCGACAGUGUCCUCCAACCUACAUUUAGCAGCAGUGCGUUGUCGCGACCCGCGCUACUGCUAAAGCGUUAGUAGCAGCGCGCUUUUUCUGAGGUCGCUACUGCUAAUUUUCAAAUUGGGCACACUGUUGGUCCCAGUUAGCAGUAACGCUUGUGUGGGAAGCGCGCUGCUGCUAAUUUCUUAUCAGCAGCGCGUUUUACCACCCGCGCUACUGCUAAGCCACACUAGCCCACCACCUUUCCCCACCCGUCCUCCCCUCCCCCAUCUCCUCACUUCCCUCCUCCCUACCCCCCCACAUCCUCCCUCUCUCACUCUUCUUCUUCCUCAAUACUUCUCCCCCAUUACUCUCCCUCUCCUACCUACCUUUCUCUCUCUUUCAUUACUCCUAGCUAACUACACCACCUCCAUUAAUGCAUCUCCUUUCUCUUUUUCCUUCCCCCUCCACUAGUUUAAGUUGUCUCCUCCCAAAUUAGCUAGCUAGGUAGAUGUAGCAUUUAGUUAAGUGACCUAUUUGCCCCCUAACUAGAUCUAUCUUUGUCAAGAAGAGCUUUGUGCACUUUUGAUCUCCCUAUAUCAUCAUCUCCACCGUGUGCUCGAUCUCGAGAUAGAGGUGAUUAAAAUUUCAUGCUUUUGCAAAAUGGAAAUAUGUUUAUGUGUGUGUGAUAUGAUAAUUGGGAGAUAUGAUGGAAAUUGUGUGUGUGUCAUGAGUUGACGCCAAAUUAUGCUUUUGAGUUGCCUAUGUUUUGCCGAAAUGUCAAUUUAUUUCCGUUUCAGCGAAUUCCGGGCAAACUCUAGAUCUAUAUAUGUCCUAUUUUUAGGGAAGGUCAUGCCGAAUUUUUGUAUGACUUUGAUGCAUGCAUGCAUUUUUAUAAUCAAUUUGUUUAUUAUUACCGUACAGAGUUCACGAUGGUCAGUGGAACAAUGGUGGACAGGUGGUUGCGGUCGGCGGUGCAGGACAUGAAAGAAAAUAACUGGACAGAGGUUUUAUGUCUGUGUCGAAAAUGCAAAGGAAUAGUUUGGCUCAAUCCCCAUGAUGAUGGUCGUGUCGAAGCGCACCUGCUCAUGACUGGUUUCAUGGAUGGCUAUACUCAGUGGAUAAUUGAAGAUGAGGAUGACGAUGUUGAGGUGUAGCGACCAGACCUCAAACAGUCUGAUCUCUGUGCAUCAGUGUCAUCACUGGAUCGGUUAUGCUGACACGCACAAUACUCAAAGGAUUUAUAAUAGAGUAGCAAUCACACACUUAUUACAUCAAAUGUCUCAAAAAAGAACUUAUUGCAAAUAAAUAUGGCUUAAGGCCAUCUAAAUAACGAUAACAGCGGAAGGCUUCGAAGAUAAGCGGGUCCCCUACAUCUGCUAGUCUACCUCUUCAAGAGUUCACACAAUUUAAUCAACUAUGCUAGACCCAUAAUAGCUUGUGGCUGCACACGGAAGUUUCUAGCAUGAAUAAAUCUCACGAUCCAUAGGAGAAUCAUACGGUACCCCGGGAUUUCCAAAAAUAUAGACAACACUGGGUUCCCCAGGCGCCUCAAUCUACCCAGAUGUGAGUUUAAGUUGCCACCUUAAGUAAACCAUUAAAUAACAAUCUCACAUCUGUCAUGGAUACACUCACCCAAUCCACGUCUACUAGCAUAGCAUAGCAACAUAAGCAAACGUAAAAGUAGCUCCCAAAGGUUUGAUAAAACAGGUAAUAGGUACUACCUCAUCUACAUCCCACAACCCUCAUGUUAAUCAAAUCCUAAUCAUGCAUUUGUUUGAGGAUUGAUCUAAUGCAAUAAAACUGGGUAGUAAACGAGGUAUGAUCAGAGUGUUACUUGCCUUGCUGAUGAUCCGUGAAACCUAGAGAUUUGAAGUAGCAAGCGGCGCACUCCGGGUACUCUAUCACAAACAAACAACCAUACAAUAAGCACUCAUCUAAUGCACAGGUAAAACUCAAAUAAGUGAUCUAACCAGAAAGUUCAACUUAAGAACUCCGGUUUGCACAAAGAAUCAAAUCAAAUGAAGCAACGAGAAACAAACGAUGAAAGAAACUAGCUUCGUUUACUAAUCUGGACCUAAGUCAAAUUUUACAGUAGAAAAAACUUGUUUGAUUAGGUUAAAGGGAAAGAGGGUUUUGAGACGAAACUCUAGGCGCUUGAAUCUCCUAAUUCCGAUAAACGAGCGAAAAGUUAUACUAAAACAAAAAUCGGAUCAGAAAUCGCGAUCAGAAAUAAUCACGGAAAAUCCGAGAAAAAGAAAAACGGACGAACAGGCUAACGAAUGAACGUUCGCUGUCUGCGGCUAAACGACAAAAACCGUUCGUUAAAACGAACGAAUGAACCGGUGUUCGUUAAAUAACUAAACCGAAGAAAAAAAUAAACCGAUCUACAUAAAAAAUAAACCGGGUUCCUAAAAAAUCGACGGUUUUCUCUCGAAAACCGCGGCGGCGACGGGGACUACCUCCGGCGGGUCAACGGGCGGCGGCGGUGGGCCGCUCCGGCGGCGGCGGGUGGCUCUGGCGGCGGCGGGGUCCGGUGACGGCGGCGGAACAGGCAGCGGCGGCGNNNNNNNNNNNNNNNNNNNNNNNNNNNNNNNNNNNNNNNNNNNNNNNNNNNNNNNNNNNNNNNNNNNNNNNNNNNNNNNNNNNNNNNNNNNNNNNNNNNNNNNNNNNNNNNNNNNNNNNNNNNNNNNNNNNNNNNNNNNNNNNNNNNNNNNNNNNNNNNNNNNNNNNNNNNNNNNNNNNNNNNNNNNNNNNNNNNNNNNNNNNNNNNNNNNNNNNNNNNNNNNNNNNNNNNNNNNNNNNNNNNNNNNNNNNNNNNNNNNNNNNNNNNNNNNNNNNNNNNNNNNNNNNNNNNNNNNNNNNNNNNNNNNNNNNNNNNNNNNNNNNNNNNNNNNNNNNNNNNNNNNNNNNNNNNNNNNNNNNNNNNNNNNNNNNNNNNNNNNNNNNNNNNNNNNNNNNNNNNNNNNNNNNNNNNNNNNNNNNNNNNNNNNNNNNNNNNNNNNNNNNNNNNNNNNNNNNNNNNNNNNNNNNNNCGGCGGCGGCGGCAGCGUGGAUCGUGGGCGGCGGCGGCGCUAGGGUUCGGCGGUGGCGCGGGCUGGGCUUGGGUGGCGGUGGGCUUUGGGGGCUGGGGGGUCCCGCUCGGGUACGACCCGGAGUAGGUUUCGUUUUUUAAAACAUUAUGCGCAAAAAAACAAAUAAAAGAAAUACUAAAAUGACUCCAAAAAUCCCGAAAUAAAUUUUCCCUGACUUCUAAAGCCAAGCCGGACAAGAUGAACAUUUAUUUGGGGCCUAAAUGCAAUUUUGAAAAACACGCAUUUUUCCUAAAUUCAAAUAAAAUAGCAAUAAACUCCAAAAUAAAAUCUUAUUUGAUUUUAUUAUCAAAUCCUCAAUAUUUCUUUAUUUUGGGAAAGUCAUUUUCUUCCCUCUCUCUUAUUUUUAUUUUAGAAAUAAUUGAAGAUAAAAUAAAUAAAAUCAAAUGAUCCUAUUUUCAAAAUUUGAGAAAACUCAAAUAUGAAAAUAACGAAAUCCCCAACUCUCUCCGUGGGUCCUUAAGUUGCGUAGAAUUUCUAGGAUCGAGCCAAAAUGCAAUAAAAUAUGAUAUGCAAAUGAUGAUCUAUGUAUGACAUUCCAAAUUGAAAAUUUGGGAUAUUACAAACCUACCCCCCCUUAAGAUGAAUCUCGCCCUCGAGAUUCGGGUUGGCUAGAAAAUAGGUGAGGGUGGUCCUUCAACAGAUCUUCCUCUCGCUCCCACGUGGCUUCAUCCUCGGUAUGGUGGCUCCACUAAACUUUGCAAAACUUGAUAACCUUGCUGCGGGUCACUCGGCUGGCAUACUCGAGAAUCUUAACUCGCUUCUCCUCGUAGGUCAAAUCAUUAUCCAACUGAAUCGCUUCCGGCGACACUGUAUCUCUCAGCGGUAUAUCAACCAUCUAUGCGUGGCACUUCUUGAACUGGGAAACAUGAAACACAUCGUGAACUCCUGACAAUCCUUCGGGCAAUUCUAAUUUGUAAGCAACUUCUCCCAUACGCUCCAAAACUUUGUAGGGUCCCACAAAACAUGGCGCUAACUUUCCCUUAACUCCAAAGCACUUAGCUCCUUGAAGUGGAGAUACAGGAAGAUAAAGUCUAUCUCCGACUUCAUAAACUGUCUCCUUAUGUUUAGAAUCUGCAUAACUCUUCUGCCUAGACUGGGCUACCUUGAGCCUAUCAUGAAUCAACUUCACCUUCUGUUCAGACUCUUUAAUUAAAUCUGGUCCAAACAACUGGCGGUCUCCAACUUCAUCCCACAACAAUGGGGUCCUGCACCUCCUUCUGUACAAGGCUUCGAAAGGGGCCAUCUUCAAACUGGAUUGAUAACUGUUGUUGUAAGAAAACUCCGCAUACGGAAAAUUUUCGUCCCAACUAGUUCCAUAAUAUAGCGCACAAGCUCUCAGCAUGUCCUCCAGAAUAUGAUUUACUCUCUCGGUCUGUCCAUCUGUGUGCGGAUGAAAGGUUGUACUGAACUCUAGCCUGGUACCUGAUACAUCUCCAACGUAUCUAUAAUUUUUGAUAGUUACAUGCUAUUAUAUUACCCCUUUUGGAUGUUUAUGGACUUUAUUUUACACAUUUAUAUCAUCUUUGGGACUAACCUACUAACCGGAGGCCCAACCCGUAUUGCUGUUUUUUUUGCCUAUUUCAGUAUUUCGAAGAAAAGGAAUAUCAAACGGAGUCGAAACGGAAUGAAACCUUCGGGAGCGUGAUUUUUGCAACAAACGUGAUCCAGAGGACUUGGAGUGCAAGUCAAGAAGCAGCCGAGGCGUCCACGAGAGCGUAGGGCGCCCCCCAUAGGGCACGCCCCUUGUCUCGUGGGCCCCAUGGGCGGCCACCGACGUACUUCUUCCUCCUAUAUAAGCCUACGUACCCCGAAAACAUCCAGGGAGCCAUUGAAACACAAUUUCCACCGUCGUAACUUUCUGUAUCCGCGAGAUCCCAUCUUGGAGCCUUCGCCGGCGCUCCACCGGAGGGGGAAUCGACCACGGAGGGAUUCUACAUCAACACCAUAACCCCUUCGAUGAGUUGUGAGUAGUUUACCACAGACCUUCGGUUCCAUAGUUAUUAUCUAGAUGGCUUCUUCUCUCUUUUUGGAUCUCAAUACAAUGUUCUCCCCCUCUCUUGUGGAGAUCUAUUCGAUAAACUCUUUUUGCGGUGUGUUUGUCAAGAUCCGAUGAAUUGUGGGUUUAUGAUCAAGUUUAUCUAUGAGAAAUAUUUGAAUCUCCUCUGAAUUCUUUUAUGUAUGAUUGAGUUAUCUUUGCAAGUCUCUUCGAAUUAUCAGUUUGGUUUGGCCUACUAGAUUGAUCUUUCUUGCCAUGGGAGAAGUGCUUAGCUUUGGGUUCAAUCUUGCAGUGUCCUUACCCAGUGACAGCAGGGGUUGCAAGGCACGUAUUGUAUUGUUGCCAUCGAGGAUAAAAAGAUGGGGUUUAUAUCGUAUUGCAUGAGUUUAUCCGUCUAUAUCAUGUCAUCUUGCUUAAGGCGUUACUCUGUUCUUAUGAACUUAAUACUCUAGAUGCAGGCAGGAGUCAGUCGAUGUGUGGAGUAAUAGUAGUAGAUGCGGGCAGGAGUCGGUCUACUUGUUACGGACGUGAUGCCUAUAUACAUGAUCAUGCCUAGAUAAUCUCAUAAUUAUUCGCUUUUCUAUCAAUUGCUCGACAGUAAUUUGUUCACCCAGCGUAAUACUUAUGCUAUCUUGAGAGAAGCCAGUAGUGAAACCUAUGGCCCCCGGGUCUAUCUCUUAUCAUCUUUUGCUUCCAAUCUACUUGUAUUUGCAUCUUUACUUUUUGCAUAUAUAUUAUAAAAUACCAAAAAUAUAUCUAUCUUAUCAUACUAUCUCUAUUAGAUCUCACUUUCGCAAGUGGUCGUGAAGGGAUUGACAACCCCUUUACUGUGUUGGUUGCGGGUUCUUUGUUUGUUUGUGUAGGUGCGUGGGACUUUUGAGGAGCCUCCUACUGGAUUGAUACCUUGGUUCUCAAAAAUGAGGGAAAUACUUACGCUACUAUUGCUGCAUCACCCUUUCCUCUUCAAGGAAAACCAACACAAGCUCAAGACGUUGCAAGAAGGAUUUCUGGCGCCAUUGCCGGGGAGGUCUUCGCUCAAGUCAAGACAUACCAAGUACCCAUCAGAAACUCAUCUCCCUCGCAUUUACAGUAUUUGCCAUUUGUCUCUCAUUUUCCUCCCCCCCACUUCACCCUUGCCGUUUUAUUCGCCCUCUCUUUCCCAAUCUCCUCCUCUCUCUUUCGCUUGCCUUUUUCUGUUUGCUUGUGUGUUCGAUUACUUGUUGCCAUGAUGCAAGAUAAUACCAAAUUGUGUGAUUUCUUGAAUACCAAUAAUAAUGAUUUCCUUAGCACUCCGAUUACUCCUCUUAAUGAUGUUGAGUCUUGUGAAAUCAAUACUGCUUUGCUGAAUCUUGUUAUGAAAGAUCAAUUCGUCGGCUUUCCUAGUGAAGAUGCCGCUACUCAUGUAAGCAACUUUGUUGAUUUGUGUGAUAUGCAAAAGAAGAAAUAUACGGAUAAUGAUAUUGUUAAAUUGAAGUUAUUUCCGUUUUCACUUAGAGAUCGUGCUAAAGUUUGGUUUUCGUCUUUGCCUAAAAAUAGUAUUGAUACUUGGAACAAGUGCAAAGAUGCUUUUAUCUCUAAGUAUUUUCCUCCCGCUAAGAUUAUCACUCUUAGGAACGAUAUUAUGAAUUUUAAACAACUUGAUCAUGAGCAUGUUGCCCAAUCUUGGGAAAGAAUGACAUUGAUGAUUCGCAAUUGCCCUACUCAUGGUUUGAAUUUAUGGAUGAUCAUACAAAAUUUUUAUGCCGGUUUGAACUUUGCUUCUAGAAAUCUCUUAGAUUCGGCCGCGGGAGGCACGUUUAUGGAAAUCACGUUAGGAGAUGAUACAAAAAUUCUUGAUAAUAUUAUGGCUAAUUAUUCUCAAUGGCACAUGGAAAGAUCUUCUAGUAAAAAAGGGCAUGCUAUAGAAGAAAUCAAUGUUUUGAGUGGAAAGAUGGAUGAACUUAUGAAAUUGUUUGCUACUAAGAAUACUCCUCUUGAUCCCAAUGAUAUGCCUUUGUCUACUUUGAUUGAGAAUAAUAAUGAAUCUAUGGAUGUGAAUUUUGUUGGUAGGAAUAGUUUCGGUAACAAUGCUUAUAGAGGAAACUUUAAUGCUAGACCGUUCCCUAGUAAUUCCUCUAGUAAUUAUGGAAAUUCCUACAAUAAUUCUUAUGGUAAAUUUAAUAAGAUGCCCUCUGAUUUUGAGAAUAGUGUGAAAGAAUUUAUGAUCUCUCAAAAGAAUUUUAAUGCCUUGCUUGAAGAAAAAUUGCUCAAAGUUGAUGAUUUGGCUAGGAACAUUGAUAGACUUUCGCUUGAUGUUGAUUCUCUUAAACUUAGAUCUACUCCUCCUAAGCAUGAUAUCAAUGAGUCUCUCAAAGCAAUGAGAAUUUCCAUUGAUGAGUGCACGGAAAGAAACGCUAGAUUGCGUGCUAAGAAAGAUUGCUUUAUAAAGGCGUGUCCUUCUAGUUUAGAUGAAAAUAAUGAUAAAGAUCUUAAAGUUAUUGAUGCGUAUCCUAUUAGAUCUUUGUUUUGCAACAUGAAUCUUGAUAAUUAUGGGACUGGAGAUGAGUCAACUUUACCUAGAAGGCGUCCCAAGAAUUCGGAGUUUUUAGAUCUUGAUGCUAAAUUUGGUAAAAGUGGGAUUGGAGAGGUCAUGACUUUAAAUAGUAUUCAACCCACUAUCUCGGAUUUCAAGGAAUUUGAUUAUGAUAAUUGUUCUUUAGAAAGUUGUAUUUCCUUGUUGCAAUCCGUCUCCUCAUGCUUAUAGUCAAAAUAAAGCUUUUACCAAACAUAUUGUUGAUGCCUUGAUGCAAUCUUAUGAUGAAAAACUUAAUUUGGAAGUUUCUAUACCUAGAAAACUUAAUGAUGAGUGGGAACCUACUAUAAAGAUUAAACUAAAGAUCAUGAGUGUUUUGCUUUAUGUGAUUUGGGUGCUAGUGUUUCCACGAUUCCGAAAACUUUAUGUGAUAUUCUAGGUUUCCAUGAUGUUGAUGAUUGCUCUUUAAAUUUGCACCUUGCGGAUUCCACCAUUAAAAAGCCAAUGGGAAGGAUCAAUGAUAUUCUCAUUGUUGCAAAUAGAAAUUUGGUGGCCGUAGAUUUUAUCGUUCUUGAUAUAAAAUGCAAUCUUUCUUGCCCUAUUAUUCUUGGUAGACCUUUCGUUAGAACGAUUGGCGUGAUUAUUGAUAUGAAGGAAGGGAAUAUUAGAUUCCAAUUUCCAUUAAAGAAAGACAUGGAGCACUUUCCAAGAAAGAAAGUCAAAUUACCUUAUGAAUCUAUCACGCGGGCUACUUAUGAAUUUAGUUCCAAAGAUGGCACUACUUAGAUCUAUCUUCGCUUUUAUGCCUAGCUAUGGGCGUUAAACGAUAGCGCUAGUUGGGAGGCAACCCAAUUUUCUUUGUGCUUUUUGUUUUUGUUCCUGUUUAGUAAUAAAUCUUGCAUCUACCUCCUAUUUAGAUGUGUUUUUAUCUUUUAAUUAGUGUUUGUGCCAAGUAGAACCUAUAGGAUAACCUAUGAUGAUAGUUGAUUUGACUCUGCUGAAAAACAGAAACUUUGCGCGCACGAAUUUAGUUUUGUUAAAUCACAGAAACGUCAUUUUGCAUUGACUCUUUUUUCUGCUGAUAAAUAGAUAAAGUUUACAGGACUUCCUAUUUUGGUAGGAUUUUUAGAGUUCCAGAAGUUUGCGUUAGUUACUGAUUUCUACAGACUGUUCUGUUUUUCACAGAUUCUGUUUUUCGUGUGUUGUUUGCUUAUUUUGAUGCAUCUAUGGCUAGUAAAAUAGUUUAUAAACCAUAGAUAAGUUGGAAUACAGUAGGUUUAACACAGAAAUAAAUAAAGAAUGAGUUCAUUACAGUACCUUAUGUGGUGGUUUUCUUUUCUUUCACUAACGGAGCUUAUAAGAUUUCCUGUUGAGUUUUGUGUUGUGAAGUUUUCAAGUUUUGGGUAAAGCAUUUAUGGACUAUGGAAUAAGGAGUGGCAAGAGCCUAAGCUUGGGGAUGCCCAUGUCACCCCAAUAUAUUCAAGGAUAGCCAAAAUCCUAAGCUUGGAGAUGCACCGGGAAGGCAUCCCCUCUUUCGUCUUCGUUCAUUGGUAACUUUACCUGGAGCUAUAUUUUUAUUCGCCACAUGAUAUGUGUUUUGCUUGGAGCGACGUGUAUUAUAUAUUAGUCUUUGCUUUUUAGUUUACCACAAUCAUACUUGAUGUACACACCUUUUGGGAGAAGCCUACUUGAUUAGAAUUUGCUAGAAUACUCUAUGUUCUUCACUUAUAUCUUUUGAGCUUGAUAGUUUUUGCUCUAGUGCUUCACUUAUAUCUUUUAGAGCACGGUGGUGGCUUAAUUUUGAAGAAACUGCUAGUCUCUCAUGCUGCACUUAUAUCUUUUUGAGAGUAUUUUAGAACAGCAUGGUAUUUGCUAUGGUUACAAAGUUGGUCCUAGAAUGAUGAGCAUCCAAGUUGGGUAUAAUAAAAACUAUCAUAGAAAGGAAUUGGAUGCUAUGAUCAAUUUGAUGCUUGAUAAUUGUUUUGAGAUAUGGAGGUAGUGAUAUUUUUUUUGACCUGAAUGGAGGUAGUGAUAUUAGAGUCAUGCUAGUUGAGGUGAUCAUGGAAAAUACUUGUGUUGGGGUUUUUGAUUCCCGUAGCAUGCACGUAUGGUGAACCGCUUUGUGAUGAAGUUGGAGCACAAUUUUAUUUAUUGAUUGUCUUCCUUAUGAGUGGCGGUCGGGGACGAGCGAUGGUAUUUUCCUACCAAUCUAUCCCCCUAGGAGCAUGCGCGUAGUACUUUGUUUUUGAUGACUUCUAGAUUUUUGCAAAAAGUAUAUGAGUUCUUUUGACUAAUGUUGAGUCCAUGGAUUAUACGCACCCUCACCCUUCCACCAUUGCUAGCCUCUCUUGUGCCGCGCAACUUUUGUCGGUAUUAUACACCCACCAUAUACCUUCCUCAAAACAGCCACCAUACCUACCUAUUAUGGCAUUUCCAUAGCCAUUCUGAGAUAAAUUGCCAUGCGACUUUCCACCGUUCUAUUCAUAUGACACGCGUUGCUUUUGUCAUAUUGCUCUUUGCAUGAUCAUGUAGUUGACAUCGUAUUUGUGGCAAGGCCACCUUCUUAAUUUUCAUACAUGUCGCUCUUGAUUCAUUGCAUAUCCCGGUACACCGCCGGAGCCAUUCAUAUAGAGUCAUAUCUUGUUCUAGCUUUGAGUUGUAAUUCUUGAGUUGUAAAUCCAUAAAAGUGUGGUGAUGUUCAAUUAUUAGAGCAUUGUCCUGCUGAGGAAAGGAUGAUGAAGGCUAUGAUUCCCCCACAAGUCGGGAUGAGAAUUCGUACUUUACAAAAACAGAAAAAGAAAAAAAGGGAAAGGCCAAAAAAAGAAAGGCCAAAGAAAAAAAAGGGGAAAAAGGAAAAGAAAAAUAAUAAUAAAAUGAGAUAAAAAGAGAGAAGGGACAAUGAUACUAUCUCCUUUUCCACACUUGUGCUUCAAAGUAGCACCAUGAUCUUCAUGAUAGAGAGUCUCAUAUGUUGUCACUUUCACAUACUAGUGGGAAUUUUUCAUUAUAGAACUUGGCUUGUAUAUUCCAAUGAUGGGCUUCCUCAAAAUGCCCUAGGUCUUCGUGAGCAAGCAAGUUGGAUGCACACCCACUUAGUUUCUUUUGUUGAGCUUUCAUAUAUUUAUAGCUCUAGUGCAUCCCUUGCAUGGCAAUCCCUACUCACUCGCAUUGAUAUCUAUUAAUGGGCAUCUCCAUAGCCCGUUGAUACGCCAAGUUGAUGUGAGACUAUCUUCUCCUUUUUGUCUUCUCCACAACCACCAUUCUACUCCAUGUAUAGUGCUAUGUCCAUGGCUCACGCUCAUGUAUUGCGUGAAAGUUGAAAGAGUUUGAAUUAUUGAAGUAUGAAACGAUUGCUUGGCUCGUCAUCGGGGUUGUGCAUGAUUAAAUACUUUGUGUGAUGAAGAUAGAGCAACAGCCAGACUAUAUGAUUUUGUAGGGAUAACUUUCUUUGGCCAUGUUAUUUUGAGAAGACAUGAUUACUUUGAUUAGUAUGCUUGAAGUAUCACCAUUUUCAUGUUAAUAUGAACUUUUAUUUUGUAUCAUUUGUAUCUGAACAUUCAUGCCACAAUAAAGAAAAUUACAUUGAGAAUUAUGCUAGGUAGCAUUCCACAUCAAAAAUUUCUUUUUUAUCAUUUACCUACUCGAGGACGAGCAGGAAUUAAGCUUGGGGAUGCUUGAUACGUCUCCAAUGUAUCUAUAAUUUUUUAUUGUUCCAUGCUAUUAUAUUACCCCUUUUGGAUGGUUAUGGGAUUUAUUUUACACAUUUAUAUCAUUUUUGGGACUAACCUACUAACCAGAGGCCCAGUCCCGUAUUGCUGUUUUUUUGCCUAUUUCAGUAUUUCGAAGAAAAGGAAAAUCAAACGGAGUCCAAACGGAAUGAAACCUUCGAGAGCGUGAUUUUCGGAACGAACGUGAUCCAGAGGACUUGGAGUGCAAGUCAAGAAGCAGCCGAGGCGGCCAUGAGAGGGUAGGGAGCCCCCCUCUAUAGGGCGCGCCCCCUGUCUCGUGGGCCCACAGGCGGCCACGGACGUACUUCUUCCUCCUAUAUAAGCCUAUGUACCCCGAAAACAUCCAGGGAGCCACCGAAACACAAUUUCCACCACUGUAACCUUCUGUAUCCUUGGGAUCCCAUCUUGGAUCCUUGGCCGACGCUCCGCCGGAGGGGGAAUCGACCAUGGAGGGCUUCUACAUCAACACCAUAGCCCCUUCGAUGAGUUGUGAGUAGUUUACCACAAACCUUCGGGUCCAUAGUUAUUAGCUAGAUGGCUUCUUCUCUCUUUUUGGAUCUCAAUACAAUGUUCUCCCCCUCUCUUGUGGAGAUCUAUUCGAUGUAAACUCUUUUUGCGGUGUGUUUGUCAAGAUCCGAUGAAUUGUGGGUUUAUGAUCGAGUUUAUCUAUGAGAAAUAUUUGAAUCUCCUCUGAAUUCUUUUAUGUAUGAUUGAGUUAUCUUUGCAAGUCUCUUCAAAUUAUCAGUUUGGUUUGGCCUACUAGAUUGAUCUUUCUUGCCAUGGGAGAAGUGCUUAGCUUUGGGUUCAAUCUUUCGGUGUCCUUACCCAGUGACAGCAGGGGUUGCAAGGCACAUAUUGUAUUGUUGCCAUCGAGGAUAAAAAGAUGGGGUUUAUAUCAUAUUGCAUGAGUUUAUCCCUCUACAUCAUGUCAUCUUGCUUAAGGCGUUACUCUAUUCUUAUGAACUUAAUACUCUAGAUGCAUGCUGGAUAGCGGUCGAUGUGUGGAGUAAUAGUAGUAGAUGCAGGCAGGAGUCGGUCUACUUGUUACGGAUGUGAUGCCUAUAUACAUGAUCAUGCCUAGAUAAUCUCAUAAUUAUUUGCUUUUCUAUCAAUUGCUCGACAGUAAUUUUUUCACCCACCGUAAUACUUAUGCUAUCUUGAGAGAAGCCACUAGUGAAACCUAUGGCCCCCGGGUCUAUCUCUUUUCAUCUUUUGCUUCCAAUCUACUUUUAGUUGCAUCUUUACUUUUUGCAUCUAUAUUAUAAAAUACCAAAAAUAUAUCUAUCUUAUCAUACUAUCUCUAUUAGAUCUCACUUUCGCAAGUGGCCGUGAAGGGAUUGACAACCCAUUUAUUGCGUUGGUUGCGAGUUCUUUGUUUGUUUGUGUAGGUGCGUGAGACUUGUGAGGAGCCUCCUACUGGAUUGAUACCUUGGUUCUCAAAAACUGAGGGAAAUACUUAUGCUACUAUUGCUGCAUCACCCUUUCCUCUUCAAGGAAAACCAACGCAAGCUCAAGACGUAGCAGUACCCAAAGUUUCAUGUAAGUGAUUCCAGAACUUUGAGGUAAAUUCGGUUCCCCUAUCUGAUACAAUGCUCCUCGGAACUCCAUGCAGGCAUACCAUCCUGGUCAUGUAUAUCUUUGCCAACUUAGCACUAGUAUAAGUGGUCUUCACUGGGAUGAAAUGAGCUACCUUCGUCAAAAGAUCGACUACAACCCAUAUCGAAUCAUAGCCUGAAAAACUCCUGGGCAAUCCUGUGAUAAAAUCCAUGCAUAGCUUAUCCCACUUCCAUUCGGGUAUCGGCAAUGGUUGUAGCAAUCCUGCUGGCUUCUGAUGCUCUGCCUUCACUCUCUGACAUACAUCACAAACUGCUACAUACUCCGCAAUAUCCUUCUUCAUUCCUGUCCACCAGAAAGUGUCCUUAAAAUCCAGAUACAUCUUGGUAUUUCCUGGGUGAAUCGAGUACGGUGAAUCAUGGGCCUCUUGCAGAAUCAACUUCCUGAUCUCCGGGUCAUUGGGCACAUAAACGCGGUCUUCAAACCAUAAAGUAUCGUGCUCAUCCUCACGAAAUCCUUUAGCUUUUCCUUUACUCGUCCUCUCCUUUAUUUCGUCAAUCUCUUUGUCAAUCUUCUGAGCUUCUCUGAUCUUAUCCAUCAAGGUCGACUGAAUCUCCAAUGCUGCAACAUAGCCUCUUGGAACUAUCUCCAAACAAAGUUCACGAAGAUCCUCGGAUAACUCCAUUGGUAACUCGUCGGUCAAGAGUGUGUUGACAUGGCUCUUGCGGCUCAACGCAUCGGCUACUACGUUAGCCUUUCCGUGAUGAUAAUGCAAUCUCAUAUCAUAAUACUUGAUGUGCUCCAACCAUCUCCUUUGCCUGAGAUUCAGCUCCUUCUGUGUGAAGAUGUACUUCAAACUCUUGUGAUCCGUGUACACCUCACAAUGGUUUCCGGUGAGAAAAUGUCUCCAUGUCUUCAAUGCAUGCACUACGACUGCUAAUUCAAAAUCAUGCGUAGCAUAAUUCAACUCGUGAGGCUUAAGCUAUCAUGAGGCAUACAAAACAACUCUUCCCUCCUGCAUAAGCACUGCUCCAAGUCCUCGACGUGAAGCGUCGCAAUAAACAUCAUAAUCCUUGCACUGAUCGGGCAGAAUCAAUACUGGUGAUGUAACCAAAUGUUUCUUCAACUCCUGGAAACUGGCCUCACAUUCCUCAGUCCAUUUGAACUUGAUAUCCUUCUUUAACAAUUCCGUCAUGGGCUUCGCAAUCUUUGAGAAAUUCUCAAUGAAUCUCUGGUAGUAUCCUGCGAGCCCAAGAAAACUCUAAAUCUCUCCAACUGUUGUCGGGGCUUCCCAAUUUGUCACAGUGACAACUUUGGUGAGGUUUACUGCUAUUCCUUCUCCGGAUAUAACAUGUCCGAGGAAUCCAACUUCCUUCAACCAAAACUCACAUUUGCUGAACUUGGCAUAUAAUUGAUGUUCUCUGAGCUUCCCAAGUACCAAUCACAAAUGCUCAUUAUGCUCCUCUUCAUUCUUCGAGUAGACCAGAAUAUCAUCAAUGAACACCACAACGAACUUAUCCAAAAACUCCAUAAACACCUUGUUCAUCAUGUUCAUGAAAUAUGUAGGUGCGUUAGUCAGACGAAAUGACAUAACGGUAUACUCAUACAGCCCGUACCUGGUGGUAAAAGCUGUCUUAGGUAUAUCCUGCUCUCGAAUCUUCAAUUGGUGGUAUCCUGAUCGCAUAUCGUUCUUGGAAAAUACCUUAGCUCCUUGCAAUUGGUCAAACAAAUCAUUGAUCAUCAGCAAUGGGUACUUGUUCUUGAUUGUCACUUCAUUCAAUCCUCGAUAAUCAAGAACCAUCCUUAAAGAUCCAUCCUUCUUCUCCACUAGAAGCACUAGUGAUCCCCAAGGUGAGGAACUUGGGCGGAUAUAUCCUUUAUCCAGUAACUCCUUAAUCUGCUUCUUAAUUUCCUCCAAAUCUUGUGCGGGCAUCCUAUAUGGUCUCUUAGAUAUUGGCCCGGUGCUUGGCAAAAGCUCAAUCAAAAACUCAAUGUCUCUAUCUGGUGGCAUGCCUGGCAACUCUUCUGGAAAUACGUCAGGAAAAUCCUUCACCACUGGUACUUCCUCCUGUACAACUCCUGAUAAGGAAUUUACUUGGGUCCUCUUUGGCUCAUGCCGUGACACAUACUUGAUCCUUCUUCCUUCUGGGGUGGUAAGCAAAAUAGACUUACUAGCACAAUCGAUGUUUCCUCCAUACAUUGAUAGCCAAUCCAUACCCAGAAUCACAUCCAAGCCUUGCGAUUCCAAAACUAUCAAAUCCGAAGGAAAAAUAUGCCUGCCUAUGGCCAAUGGUACUUGAAAACAUUCUUGACUGACCAUAUACUCCCCUCCUGGUGAGCUUACUAGCAUAGGUGUUCUAAGAACUUUGGAGGCAGCUUAUACUUAUCCACAAAUCCCCUUAUUAUGUAUGAAUGCGAUGCACCAGUAUCAAAAGAACGAUUGCAGUAAAUGACUUAACUAAAAACUUACCUAUUACUACACCUGGCUAGGCUUCAACCUCCCCCACGCCAACGUGGUUUACAUGUCCCUUGUUGAAAGGGUUCGGCUUCUUCCCAGAGCUUCCAUUUCCAUUUCCAUUCUUCACUUCUGGGCAUUCAGUGGCAUAAUGUCCAGUCUUCUGGCAUUUGUAGCAGGUGAUGUGGCUCGGAUCCCUUUUGGCUGGGGUUGAUGGGUUGGUGCGGUUCUAUCCGUUGGUUCCUCCAUUCCCAUUACCAUUCUUGGGGCCACUAUGGUUGUGCGAACUAGCUCCUCCAUGGGUAUGCUGAAAAUGUCCUCCCGAAUUCAGGGUAAAACGAGGCUUCUGCUGAGCUCCAGAAUUGUACUUCCCUUGUCCAUACUUCCUCUUGCGGUUGUCAAUCUGCUGCUGCUUUCCUUCAAUCAUGAGAGCAUGAUCUACCAACUCCUGGUAGUUGUUGAAGGUUGCCACCAUCAACUGCAUGCUCAGCUCAUCAUCCAGUCCUUCCAAAAACUUCUCUUGCUUAGCUGCGUCCGUAGCAACGUCAUCUGGGGCAUAACGUGCUAACUUACUAAAGUCAUCCACAUACUGGCCAACUGUCCGUCCUCCUUGCCACAAGUUGCAAAACUCACGCUUCUUCAUGGCCAUAGCUCCUGCUGAAACAUGGGCAGUACAAAAAGCCUGCUGGAACUGAUCCCAUGUGACAGUGUCGAUAGUAUAAGUGGCUGUGAAAUUCUCCCACCAUGAUGCUGCGGGUCCAUCAAGCUGAUGUGCAUCAAAGCGCACCUUCUUUGCAUCUGUGCAUCCUGCAGUGGUUAACUCCCUUCCCAUCUUGCGGAGCCAAUCAUGUGCAACUAUCGGCUCGGUGCUACUGGAGAACACCGGCGGAUUAAGUCUCAAGAAACGGGCUAAGUGAUCAACAGGUGGUGGUGGUGGUGGGUUGUUGUUGUUGUUCCCCUGAUUCUGAUUCUGGACUAGGAUCUGCAUCAACGCAUUCUGCUGCUAGAUCAACUGAGUGAGCUCCGGUGGGAAAGCAAAUCCAUUGUCACGUCUCGGAGGCAUCUGAGGGUUUUAGAGAAGGUGAGAAUAUACAAUAGAAUGAGGUCUAUAGAGAAAACACUACCCAUAUGCACAUGAGACAAAUGCAAACAAUAUCACUUCAAUCAAUUCAAACAAGGGCAUACAACGGUCUAACCGUCGUUAUAAAAGUGCUCAGACUAUACUAUACACAUGGAGGAAUUCUACUACUGUUAUGGUGGUCGACUAGAAAAACUGCUCGGUCGAAGACUCCAUGAUAUCUGCUACAACUUCAUCAACAAAUUAAUCAUCACUAUCAUCUGGGUCCGAGUCGAUGUCGUUGAUGAUUAUGUAGUUCUCCGGGCAAGUGCAGUCGUUGUCUUCUCCUCCAGUCGCGGGAAAUCCCAUAAAUACUUUUAACUUCUUCUUUAGGUCUUCAUUCUUCUCCACGAGUGCCGUCAUUUCCUCCUCAUAACCAUCACGUGUAGACUUGAGUUCUUGUUCCAGCUCCGUGAUCUUGGUCAAUGCCUUCUUCAGAUCUAUCAUGCCUGCGCACAUCUGGUUCUCCUGGCAACGAAUGUGCUGGUUUAACUCCUGGAUCGAAGCUGCAAUUGAUCUAUCCUUCCUGGUGCUGAUCAUCUCCCAUUGCUCAUCUUGGCGCCCACAAAUCUGGUAGAUAGUAUCCUUGAGAUCCUUGUGGUAAACUUCUCCAAUGCGUCCCAUGGUGAUGUGGGCUGCCAUGCUCUUACCUAGACUCCAGGUUGGUGCAUCAAAGGGAAACUCUAUGGGCUCAGUGAUGGGCAUGAACGUCCUUCCUAGAACUUGAACUUGAAUCAUCCAACGCUCCUCUUCUGGUAAAGUGGCGAUGUAGGUCCCGGUGAAGCUUGGUACUCCAAUGUUCAGGUAUCUAGUGACUUCCUUCAAGUGGCGUCCAAAGGGUGUAUCUUCAUCCGGUUGCGUAAACUUGUUCCUUACAUCCGCCAUCCUAAAAGAGUAGAAAAGAUGAGGAGUCAGAACUGAGAAGAGAGUAGUGAUCUAGGGCUUUAGCUUAGUGGUCGUGUCCUACAGUCAGCGUGUGCUUUGAUACCAUCUUGUAGCGACCAGACCUCAAACAGCCUGAUCUCUGUGCAUCAGUGUCAUCCCUGGAUCGGUAAUGCUGACACGCACAGUACUCGAAGGAUUUAUAACAGAGUAGCAAUCACACACUUAUUACAUCGAAUGUCUCAAAAGAGAACUUAUUGGAAAUAAAUAGGGCUUAAGGCCAUCUAAAUAACGAUAACAGCGGAAGGCUUCAAAGAUAAGUGAGUCCAUCAACUCCAACGGCAUCACUGAGUAUAAGAUCACGACCUUACUCAUCGUCUGAAAAGUCUGCAACAUGAACGUUGCAGCCCGAAAACGGGUCAGCACAUGGAAUAUGCUGGCAAUGUAACACAUAGAGAGUAAUGAACAGAAUAAUGCUAUACUACAUGCAUAUAUGGCUGGUGGAAAGCUCUAUGGUUACAGCUUUGCAUAAAGCCAAUUUUUCCCUACUACAAAGGAAUAAAUUUUAUUUAACUACCAUGGUGGUUGUUAAACAUUGAGAAGGGUACUCCAACUCAAUCCCAAUUAAGCAUCAUCAUUAACCCAACAAAAUUAAUUUAAAGUAACAUGAGGAGAUUCACAUGAUAAUCUAGGUACUAGAUACUCAAAACGUCCAUAACCGGGGACACGGCUAACCAUGAUUAGUUUAUACACUCUGCAGAGGUUUGCGCACUUUUCCCCACAAGACUUGAUCUCCUCCGUUGGAUUUCUCUCACUACAGGGUCUUUGAGAAACGGAUGACCGAGACACAGUCUUUCAGAAGCUUAAACUCCCUACUACAGGUAGACAGUUACACCUACUUUCCCCUACAUCUGCUAGUCUACCUCUUCAAGAGUUCACACAAUUUAAUCAACUAUGCUAGACCCAUAAUAGCUUGUGGCUGCACACGGAAGUUUCUAGCAUGAAUAAAUCUCACGAUCCAUAGGAGAAUCAUACGGUACCCCGGGAUUUCCAAAAAUAUAGACAACACUGGGUUCCCCAGGCGUCUCAAUCUACCCAGAUGUGAGUUUAAGUUGCCACCUUAAGUAAACCAUUAAAUAACAAUCUCACAUCUGUCAUGAAUACACUCACCCAAUCCACGUCUACUAGCAUAGCAUAGCAACAUAAGCAAACGUAAAAGUAGCUCCCAAAGGUUUGAUAAUAAAACAGGUAAUAGGUACUACCUCAUCUACAUCCCAAAACCCCCAUGUUAAUCAGAUCCUAAUCAUGCAUUUGUUUGAGGAUUGAUCUAAUGCAAUAAAACUGGGUAGUAAAAGAGGUAUGAUCAGAGUGUUACUUGCCUUGCUGAUGAUCCAUGAAACCUAGAGAUUCGAAGUAGCAAGCGGCGCACUCCGGGUACUACAUCGCAAACAAACAAGCAUACAAUAAGCACUCAUCUAAUGCACAGGUAAAACUCAAAUAAGAGAUCUAACCAGAAAGUUCAACUUAAGAACUCUGUUUUGUAAAAAGAAUCAAAUCAAAUGAAGCAACGAAAAACAAACGGCGAAAGAAACAAGCUUCAUUUACUAAUCUGGACCAAAGUCAAAUUUUACAGUAGCAAAAACUUGUUUGAGUAGGUUAAACAGAAAGAGGGUUUCAAGAUGAAACUCUAGGCGCUUGAAUCGCCUGAUUCCGAUAAACGAGUGAAAAGUUAUACUAAAACGAAAAUUGGAUUAGAAAUCACGACCAGAAAUAAUCAUGGAAAAUCCGAGAAAAAUAUAAACGAACGAACAGGCUAACGAACGAACGUUUGCUGUCUGCGGCUGAACGACGGAAACCGUUUGUUAAAACGAAUGAAUGAAAGGGUGUUCGUUGAAUAACUAAACUGAAGAAAAAAAAUAAACCGAUCUAUAUAAAAAAAUAAACCGGGUUCCUAAAAAAACCGACGGUUUUCUCUCAAAAACCGCGGCGGCGACGGGGACUACCUCCGGCGAGUCAACGGGCGGCGGCGGCGGGUCAACGGGUGGCGGCGGCGGGUCAACCAGUAUGUGGAAAACUCGUAGGCACCGGAUUAGCGAUGGAUAAUUAUGCCGGAUGCGGUUCGUCAUGUAACAGUCAUAAUAUAGGGUGACACAACACUAGCUCCAGUUCAUCAAUGUAAUGUAGGCAUGUAUUCCGUAUAUAGUCAUACGUGCUUAUGGAAAAGAACUUGCGUGACAUCUUUUGUCCUACCCUCCCGUGGCAGCGGGGUCCUAUUGGAAACUAAGGGAUAUUAAGGCCUCCUUUUAAUAGAGAACCGGAACAAAGCAUUAGCACAUAGUGAAUACAUGAACUCCUCAAACUACGGUCAUCACCGGGAGUGGUCCCGAUUAUUGUCACUUCGGGGUUGCCGGAUCAUAACACAUUGUAGGUGACUAUAGACUUGCAAGAUAGGAUCAAGAACACACAUAUAUUCAUGAAAACAUAAUAGGUUCAGAUCUGAAAUCAUGGCACUCGGGCCCUAGUGAAAAGCAUUAAGCAUAGCAAAGUCAUAGCAACAUCAAUCUCAGAACAUAAUGGAUACUAGGGAUCAAACCCUAACAAAACUAACUCGAUUACAUGAUAAAUCUCAUCCAACCCAUCACCGUCCAGCAAGCCUACAAUGCAAUUACUCACACAUAGCGGUGAGCAUCAUGAACCUAGGGAUGGAGGAUGGUUGAUGAUGACGAGAACGACGAAUCCCAUUCUCCGGAGCCCCGAACGGACUCCAGAUCAGCCCUCCCGAGAGAGAUUAGGGCUUGGCGGUGGCUCCGUAUCGUGAAACGUGAUGAUUUCUUCUCUCUGAUUUUUUCUCCCUGAAAGCCAAUAUAUNNNNNNNNNNNNNNNNNNNNNNNNNNNNNNNNNNNNNNNNNNNNNNNNNNNNNNNNNNNNNNNNNNNNNNNNNNNNNNNNNNNNNNNNNNNNNNNNNNNNNNNNNNNNNNNNNNNNNNNNNNNNNNNNNNNNNNNNNNNNNNNNNNNNNNNNNNNNNNNNNNNNNNNNNNNNNNNNNNNNNNNNNNNNNNNNNNNNNNNNNNNNNNNNNNNNNNNNNNNNNNNNNNNNNNNNNNNNNNNNNNNNNNNNNNNNNNNNNNNNNNNNNNNNNNNNNNNNNNNNNNNNNNNNNNNNNNNNNNNNNNNNNACCCCCGUCGACAGGGUGUGGGCCCCCUGGUCUUCAUCUUUUGCGAGGAUUUUUCUUUAUUUUUUCUAAGGUGUUCCGUGGAUUUUCAGGUCAUUCCGAGAAUUUUUAUUUUCUGCACAAAAAACAACACCAUGGUAAUUCUGCUGAAAACAGCGUCAAUCCGGGUUAGUUCCAUUCAAAUCAUACAAGUUAGAGUCCAAAACAAGGGCAAAAGUGUUUGGAAAAGUAGAUACAACGGAGACGUAUCAACUCCCCCAAGCUUAAACCCUUGCUUGUCCUCAAGCAAUUCAGUUGACAAACUAAAAGAGAAAAAGAAAAACUUUUACAAACUCUGUUUGCUCUUGUUGUUGUAAACAUGAAAAGCAGCAUUCAAGUUUCAGCAAUUAUUAUGAACUAACCGUACUCACAAUGACACGUACGUCUCACAAUUACUCAUAUCAAUAGCAUAAUCAGCAUGUGAGCCAUAAUAAUAAAACUCGGAUGACAACACUUUCUCAGAAUAAUCAUAACAUGAUAUAACAAAAUGAUAUCUUGCUAGCCCUUUCUGAGACCGCAAAACAUAAACGCAGAGCACCUUUAAAGAUCAAGAACUGACUAAACAUUGUAAUUCAAGGUAAAAGAGAUCCAGUCAAGUCAUACCCAAUAUAAACCAAUAAUAAUGAAUGCAAAUGACAGUGUGCUCUCCAGCGGGUACUUUUUAAUAAGAAGGGUGAUAACAUAAAAGUAAAUGGAUAGGCCCUUCGCAGAGGGAAGUAGGGAUUUGUAGAGGUGCCAGAGCUCGGUUUUGAAAUAGAGAUAAAUUAUAUUUUGAGCGGCAUACUUUCAUUGUCAACAUAACAACUAAAAGACGAUGAUAUCUUCCAUGCUAAACAGAUUAUUGGCGGUUCCCAAACAGAAUGGUAAAGUUUAUACUCCCCUUCCUCCACAAGCAUCAAUCCAUGGCUUGCUCGAAACAAUGAGUGCCUCCAACAUUCAACGGGUCCCAAGGGGAGUUUGUUUGACGUUAUUUUGAUUUAGUUUGCAUAAAGCAUGGGACUGGGCAUCCCGGAUACCAGCCAUUUUCUUGUGAAUGAGGAGUGGAGUCUACUCCUCUUGAGAAUAACCCGCCUAACAUGGAAGAUAAGGGCAGCUCUAGUUGACAUAUGAGCUAUUCGAGCAUGCAAAACAGAAUGUUUAUUUGAAGGUUUAGAGUUUGGCACAUACAAAUUUACUUGGAACGGCAGGUAAAUACCGCAUAUAGGUAGGUAUAGUGGACUUAUAUGGAAUAACUUUGGGGUUUAAGGAGUUUGGAUGCACAAGCAGUAUUCCCGCUUAGUACAGGUGAAGGCUAGCAAAAGACCGGGAAGCGACCGACUGAGAGAGCGACAAUAGUCGUAAACAUGCAUUAAAAUUAAUUCACACCGAGUACAAGCAUGAGUAGGAUAUAAUCCACCAUGAACAUAAAUAUCAUGAAGGCUAUGUUGAUUUGAUUCAACUACAUGCGUGAACAUGUGCCAAGUCGAGUCACUCAAUACAUUUAAAGGAGGAUACCAUCCCAUCAUACCACAUCAUAAUCAUUCUAAUAGCAUGUUGGCAUGCAAGGUAAACCAUUAUAACUCAUAGCUAAUCAAGCAUGGCACAAGCAACUAUAAUCUCUAAAUGUCAUUGCAAAUAUGUUUACUUCAUAAUAGCUGAAUCAAGAACAAUGAAUCAUCAUAUUUACAAAAACAAAAGAGGUCGAGUUCAUACCAGCUUUUCUCUUCCCAAUAAGUCCAUCAUAUAUCAUCAUUAUUGCCUUUCACUUGCACGACCGGAUGGUGUGUAUAAUAAUAAGAGUGCACGUGCAUUGGACUAAGCUAGAAUCUGCAAGCAUUCAACUCAAGAGAGAAGACAAGUAAUAUGGGCUCUAAGUUAAAUAAACAAUCAUGCAUAAAGAUCCACCAAGCAUUUUCAAUAUGGUAUUCUCGACCCCCAAAGAAAGGAAAAGAAAUAAAAACUAUUUACACGGGAAAGCUCCCAACAAGUAAAAGAAGAACGGGAAAUAUUUUUGGGUGUUCUUUUUAAUUCUACUACAAGCAUGGAAAGUAAACUCACUAUUUUUUUGUUUUUUUCUUAAGCUUUAACAAACACACAAGAAGAAAGCAGGAAAAAGAAAUUUAAACUAGCAUGGAUAUUACAGUGAAAAAGUAUGAGCACUGACAUCUAGCAAUGAGUGUGUGUGUGAACAUGAAUGUAAUGUCGGUGGGAAAUACGUACUCUCCCAAGCUUAGGCUUUUGGCCUAGGUUGGUCUAUUGCCAGGGAUGGCCUGGCGGAUACCCGUAGGUGUAGCUGGGGUCGUAGUGUGACGAAGAAGAUUCUGAUUGCCACUGGCUGGCAGCCUCCUCUGGAUCCCAAGAAUAAACAGAUAGUCGCGGAGGCUCAUCUUGUUGCUCCGGCUCCGGGCCUGGUGCAGGAUUCCGAUAGGCUUGAACAGCCGAUCAUGGAACGAUGUGAGGUUCUGCAGACAAGUUAAAAAAAGAAGGAGCAUGCAACGUAAUAGUCUCAGGGUGAUGUUUAUCAAAGUAUAAUUUAUAUUUGAGCUCCCCAUCGCGACUCUUAACAAGAAAAUCAUGUGCUAUCAUACUCUUAUAAUCUAAAUAAGCACAGGGCAUCGCUGUUUCUUCUUUCUCCUCAUGCCUAAUAGGUAUUUCAAAAUGUUCAGCUAGGUGUGAAGCAUAAAUGCCUCCAAAGAUGGGGUCCUUAGUGCGGUUCAAACUUAACCGUCUAGCAACAAUUCCACCCAUACUAACAGAGUUAUUGCGCUAUAAACCAUGGAGCAAAAUAAUAAUAUCAGGAAUACUAAGGUUCCCACAGUUCCCGCGUCCAAUCAAGCAACGACUAGCAAAUAAGGCAAAGUAGCAUAAAACAGGAUAAUGUAUGCUAGUGAUCCUCGCGUCAGAAACCUUCCUGGUUUCUUCCACCGUGAUAGUGUUAAUAAAAGCUUCUACUUCGUUACGGUGGGCUUCAUCUAUGGUGCCCUCAAAGGGUAUUCUACAAACCCUGCAGAAUUCAGCUAAUGUCAUCUCUUUAACAAUGUCAUAUAAAUGAAACUCUACUGUUGGAGGUGAUUUCUUAGGGAAAAAGUAGAAGUUUUGCACAAAAGUAUUUGUUAGUAAGAGAUACCGAUGACGUUGGUCGUGGAGGAAGUUGGUGAGGCCGGCGUUCUCAAUCAAUAAAUAGAAAUCCUCAUAAAUCUCGGCUCUCCUCAAGAAGUCAUCGGAGGGCCAUUCACACGGCCGGACCUCCGCGGUGCGGGGAAAAUUGAAUUUGGGCUUCUCCUCUUCUUCCUUUUGUUUUUCCUUAGAGCUUUGGCUCGACAAGCCCCUCAAAAAUUUCUUCAUUAUUUCUGAAACAAUCUGAAAUUUUUAGUAACUUCAAAUAAAAGUGAACCAACUUCAAUAAAAUUGAUAGUAACAACUCCUACAAGUGCCUAGAGCCUAUACAAAGCAUUGGAACUGCUUGGAACCAUAUAAAUUUGACAUGCAAGUUCAAGAACAUUGUCACCUAUGCAGUACAAAUUUGCAAUGAAUAAAGCACUAGAACAAAAACUAAUUGGACCAAUGGAGGAGUCACAUACCAAGGAACAAUCUCCCCAAGCAGUUUUGCAAGAGGUGCUUUGAGCAAGGAGAUCGAAAAUCAUAGCAACGGGGGCUAGAACUCGUGCUUGAGUUGGUUUUUCGUGUUUAUGUGAGACAAAGGAAGAAGAUGGGUGCAGGAAUAAGUGGAGGAGGGCCACCAUGGGCCCAUGAGGCAGGGGGCGCGCCUAGGGGGGUAGGGAGCGCCCUCCACUCUCGUGGCCAGGUGGCAGCUCCCCCCGUGGUAAUUUUUGCACGGUAAAUUCUUAAAUAUUCCCGAAAAAAUCAUAUUAAAUUGGCAUGGCAUUCUCAGGACUUUUAUUUUCGGGAUAUUUUUAUAUUGCACGGGUAAGUCAGGAAACAGACAGAAAAAUAUUAUUUUACUUUAUUUUUACUAAAUAAUGGAAAAUAUAGAGAGGGUACAGAAGGUUGUGCUUCUAGUUUCAUCCAUCUCGUGAUCAUCAAAAUGAACCCACUAACAAGGUUGAUCAAGUCUAGUUAACAAACUCAUUCCAAAUAAUCACGGAACCGGAGAAAUUUCGAAUGACGCUAAGUUACCUCAACGGGGAUAUGAAAAUCCCCAACAAUAAGAAUAUCAUACUUUUUCUUGACAGUAGGGAGAGGAAAUUCAAAACCUCCAAAUAUAAUCCAUGGAAUUUUUCCAAUAGAGUUGAUACUAUAAACUUGAGGUUGUUUCCUCGAAAAAUGUACCGUGUGCUCAUUGCCAUUAACAUGAAAAGUGACAUUGCCUUGGGUGCAAUCAAUAACAGCCCCUGCAGUAUUAAGGAAAGGUCUUCCAAGAAUAAUAGACAUACUAUCAUCCUCGGGAAUAUCAAGAAUAACAAAGUCCGUUAAAAUAGUAACGUUCGCAACUACAACAGGCACAUCCUCACAAAUACCAACAGGUAUAGCAGUUGAUUUAUCAGUCAUUUGCAAAGAUAUUUCAAUAGGUGUCAACUUAUUCAAGUCAAGUCUACGAUAUAAAGAGAGAGACAUAACACUGACACCGGCUCCAAGAUCACAUAAAGCAGUUUUAACAUAAUUUCUCUUAAUGGAGCAUGGUAUAGUAGGUACUCCGGGAUCUCCAAGUUUCUUUGGUAUUCCACCCUUAAAAGUAUAAUUAGCAAGCAUGGUGGAAAUUUCAGCUUCAGGUAUCUUUCUUUUAUUAGUAAUAAUAUCCUUCAUAUACUUAGCAUAAGGAUUUGUUUUGAGCACAUCAGUUAAUCGCAUACGCAAAAAGAUGGGUCUAAUCAUUUCAGCAAAGCGCUCAAAAUCCUCAUCAUCCUUUUUCUUGGAUGGUUUCGGAGGAAAAGGCAUGGGUUUUUGAACCCAUGGUUCCCUUUCUUUACCGUGUUUCCUAGCAACAAAAUCUCUUUUAUCAUAACGUUGAUUCUUUGAUUGUGGGUUAUCAAGAUCAACAGCAGGUUCAGCUUCUACAUCAUUAUCAUUACUAGGUUGAGCAUCAACAUGAACAUUAUCAUUAGCAUUACCACUAGGUUCAUGUUCAUCACCUGAUUGUGUUUCAGCAUCAGAAAUAGAGAUAUCAUUUGGAUUCUUAGGUGGCUCGGCGAUAGGUUCACUGGAAGUUUGCAAAGUCCUAUCAUUUUUUUCUUCCUUUUAGAAGAACUAGGUACAUCAAUAUUGUUUCUUUGAGAAUCUUGCUCGAUUCUCUUAGGGUGGCCUUCAGGAUACAAAGGUUCCUGAGUCAUUCUACCAGUUCUAGUAGCCACUCUCACAGCAUAAUCAUUUUUCUUACUAUUCAUUUCAUCAAGUACUUCUUUCUGAGCUUUAAGUACUUGUUCUACUUGAGUGGUAACCAUAGAAGCAUGUUUGCUAACAAAUUUAAGUUCACCUCUAAGAUCAGCCAUAUAAUCACCCAAGCGUUUAAUCAUAAAGGUAUUCUGUUUUAAUUGUCUACCAAAAUAAGCAUUAAAGUCAUCAAACUCAUCCAAGCACUGACUAGCAAUUUUAGUAGGAGGGACUUCAGCUUUAUCAUAUCUAUAGAGAGAAUUUACCUUUACUACCUGUGUCGGGAUAUCGGGAGGUUCUUCAGUGAAUAAGUAAUUGAGAUCAUAUACUUCUUCAACAGGCGGUAAAUUAAGACCAUGUAUUUCUUCAAUAGGAGGUAAAUUCUUAACAUCUUCAGCUUUAAUACCUUUUUCUUUCAUAGAUUUCUUUGCCUCUUGCAUAUCUUCGGGACUGAGAAAUAGAACACCUCUCUUCUUCGGAGUUGGUUUAGGAAUAGGCUCAGUAAUUAGCUCAGGAACUGGCUCAGGAGGUAGCUCGGGAGGUGCCCAAUUAUUUUCAUUUGCCAACAUAUUAUUCAAUAGAAUUUCAGCGUCAUCCGGUGUUCUUUCCCUGAAAAGAGAACUAGCACAACUAUCCAGGUAAUCUUUGGAAGCAUCAGUUAGUCCAUUAUAAAAGAUAUCAAAUAUUUCAGGUUUCUUAAGAGGGUGAUCAGGCAAAGCAUUAAGUAACUUGAGAAGCCUCCCCCAAGCUUGUGGGAGACUCUCUUCUUCAAUUUGCACAAAAUUGUAUAUUUCCCUCAAAGCAGCUUGUUUCUUAUGAGCAGGGAAAUAUUUAGCAGAGAAGUAAUAAAUCAUAUCCUGGGGACUUUGCACACAACCAGGAUCAAGAGAAUUAUACCAUAUCUUAGCAUCACCCUUUAAUGAGAACGGAAAUAUCUUGAGUAAAUAAAGGUAGCGCGAUCUCUCAUUAUUAGUAAACAGGGCAGCUAUAUCGUUUAACUUAGUAAGAUGUGCCACAACAGUUUUAGAUUCAUAGCCAUAAAAAGGAUUAGAUUCAACCAAAGUAAUUAUAUCUGGAUCAACAGAAAAAUCAUAAUAAUCCUAAUUAGGAACACAGAUGGUGAAGUAGCAAAAGCAGGAUCAAGUUUCAUUCUAUUUCUAAAAGAUUCUUUACUCCAUUUAACUAGCAACCUCUUAAGUUCACGUCUAUCCUGGCAAGCAAGAAUAGCUGCAGAAGAUUCAGCAUCAAAAAGAUAACCCUCAGGAAUAGCAAGCAUAGGUUCAUCAUCACUAACAUCAUUGUGUUCAGGUUCAAUAAUUUCUCUUUCUCUAGACCUAGCAAUUUGCUCAUCAAGAAAUUCACCAAGUGGCACACUAGUAUCAAGCAUAGAAGUAGUUUCAUCAUAAGUAUCGUGCAUAACAGAAGUGGCAUCAUCAAUAACAUGCGACAUAUCAGAAUCAAGAGCAGUAGUAGGUUUAGGUGUCGCAAACUUACUCAUAACAGAAGGAUAAUCUAGUGCAAGGCUAGAUGGCAGUCCCUUACCUCCCCUCGUAGUUGAGGGCAAAAUAGUAGUUCGAUCAUCUUUCAAGUUCUUCACAGUGUCCAGCAGAUAUAAAUCCUAAGUGACUCAAAGAAUAGAGCUAUGCUCCCCGGCAACGGCGCCAAAAAAAGGUCUUGAUAACUCACAAGUAUAGGGGAUCGCAACAAUUUUCGAGGGUAAAGUAUUCAACCCAAAUUUAUUGAUUCGACACGAGGGGAGCCAAAGAAUAUUCUUAAGUAUUAGCAGCUGAGUUGUCAAUUCAACCACACCUGGAAACUUAGUAUUUGCAGCAAAGUGUUUAGUAGCAAAGUAAUAUGAUAGUGGUGGUAACGGUAAUAAAAGUAAAGACAGUAAAAGUAAUGUUUUUGGUAUUUUGUAGUGAUUGUAACAAUAGCAACGGAAAAGUAAAUAAGUGUAAACCAGUAUAUGGAAAACUCGUAGGCACCGGAUUAGCGAUGGAUAAUUAUGCCGGAUGCGGUUCGUCAUGUAACAGUCAUAACAUAGGGUGACACAGAACUAGCUCCAGUUCAUCAAUGUAAUGUAGGCAUGUAUUCCAUAUAUAGUUAUACAUGCUUAUGGAAAAGAACUUGCAUGACAUAUUUUGUCCUACCCUCUCGUGGCAGCAGGUUCCUAUUGGAAACUAAAGGAUAUUAAGGCCUCCUUUGAAUAGAGAACCGGAACAAAGCAUUAGCACAUAGUGAAUACAUGAACUCCUCAAACUACGGUCAUCACCGGGAGUGGUCCCGAUUAUUGUCACUUCGGGGUUGCCGGAUCAUAACACAUAGUAGGUGACUAUAGACUUGCAAGAUAGGAUCAAGAACACACAUAUAUUCAUGAAAACAUAAUAGGUUCAGAUCUGAAAUCAUGGCACUCGGGCCCUAGUGACAAGCAUUAAGCAUAGCAAAGUCAUAGCAACAUCAAUCUCAGAACAUAAUGGAUACUAGGGAUCAAAACCCUAACAAAACUAACUCGAUUACAUGAUAAAUCUCAUCCAACCCAUCACCGUCCAGCAAGCCUACGAUGCAAUUACUCACACACGGCGGCGAGCAUCAUGAAAUUGGUGAUGGAGGAUGGUUGAUGAUGACGACGACGACGAAUCCCCCUCUCCGGAGCCCCGAACGGACUCCAGAUCAGCCCUCCUGAGAGAGAUUAGGGCUUGCCGGCAGCUCCGUAUUGUAAAACGCGAUGAUUUCUUCUCUCUGAUUUUUUUCUCCCCGAAAGACAAUAUAUGGAGUUGGUGUCGGAGGGCCACCAGGGGGCCCACGAGGUAGGGGGCGCGCCUAGGGGAGGGGGGCGCCCCCACCCUCGUGGACAGGGUGUGGGCCCCCUGGUCUUCAUCUUUUGUGAGGAUUUUUCUUUAUUUUUUCUAAGGUGUUCCGUGGAGUUUCAGGUCAUUCCGAGAAUUUUUAUUUUCUACACAAAAAACAACACUAUGGCAAUUCUGCUGAAAACAGCGUCAGUCCGGGUUAGUUCCAUUUAAAUCAUACAAGUUAGAGUCCAAAACAAGGGAAAAAGUGUUUGGAAAAGUAGAUACGACGGAGACGUAUCAGUGUCUCGCUCGGGUACGACCAGUCGGUUUCGUUUAAAAAAAACAUUACGCGCAGAAAAACAAAUAAAUGAAAUACUAAACGGACUCCAAAAAUCCCGAAAUAAAAUUUCCCCGACUUCUAAAAUCAAGCCCGACAAGAUGAACAUUUGUUUCGGGCCUAAAUGCUAUUUUGAAAAACGCACAUUUUUCCUAAAUUGAAAUAAAAUAGCAAUAAACUCCAAAAUAAAAUAUUAUUUGAUUUUAUUGUCAAAUCCUCAAUAUUUCUUUAUUUUGGGAAAGUCAUUUUAUUCCCUCUCUCUUAUUUGUAUUGUAGAAAUAAUUGAAGAUAAAAUAAAUAAAAUCAAAUGAUUCUAUUUUCAAAAUUUGAGAAAACUCAAAUAUGAAAAUAACGAAAUCCCCAACUCUCUCCGUGGGUCCUUGAGUUGCGUAGAAUUUCUAGGAUCAAGCCAAAAUGCAAUAAAAUAUGAUAUGCAAAUGAUGAUCUAUGUAUAACAUUCCAAAUUGAAAAUUUGGGAUGUUACAUGAGGACGCUGACGGGGCACGCAAUGAUGACACGGGGCAAGAUGAAGAGAUGAUCGACAAUGGCGGCGGUGAAGAGGCCGGACAUGGCGGCGGAGAAGGGGCCGGACAUGGCGGAGGAGAAGGGGCCGGACAUGGCAGAGGAGAAGGGGCCGGACUUGGCGGCGGAGAGAACGACAUGGACUCCACGCAGCAGAGUUCGUCGGUACUAUGUUCAAUCGUGCGGGACCCUCAUGUUCAAGCAUUGCUUCGCAAGGAAACGAGUACUGAGAGGGCUGCUUCUAGAGAGGAGGCUAAGUUGGAGCAAUUGGUGGUAGACUCGAACACUCCAUUGUAUGAUGGUUGCAAUCCUGAGGUGACCCGCUUGAGUUUCACGCUCCAACUCCUGAAGACGAAGGCUAAAAACAAAUGGACCGACACUAGCCUCGAUGAGCAUAUCAAGUACCUAAAGGAUGUUCUUCCUGUGGGGAAUCUAUGUCCUACUAGUGUUGAUGAGGCCAAGAAGAUCGUGUGCCCUCUUGAUCUGCCACACGUUAGAUACCAUGCAUGCAUCAACGAUGGCAUAAUUUAUCGGAAGUUGCACACGGAAAAAACAAGCUGUCCGGCGUGCAAUGCUUCUCGAUACAAGAAGGCCAUGAAGAAAUGUCCCCAGAAAGUUGUAUGGUACUUACUGAUCACUCCCCGUCUCCAGCAGUAUUUUGUAGAUCCCAAGGAAGCAAAGCUAAUGCGCUGGCAUGCAGAGAGGAAGAAUCCCCACGAUGGAGAUGAUCCGAAGCUGAGACACGUCAAGGAUGGAAGCCAGUGGAGAGCGUUGAAUAGCUUCUAUCGGUUUUUCGAAUGUGAUGCAAGGAACAUCGUGCUCGGUGCGUGUAUCGAUGGCAUGAAUCCGUUUGGCAACCAGAACACCAAUCAUAGCACAUGGCCCAUGUUUGUAUGGAUGUACAAUCUCUCCCCUGGUUGUGCAUGAAGUCGAAGUACAUUCACAUGAGCAUGCUUAUUCAAGGGCCGAAACAACCAGGAAAUAAUAUUAAUUUGUAUCUGGGGCUACUUCAAGAGGAUUUAGACACGUUAUGGAAAACACCGGCCAAGACAUGGGACGCUAGCAAAGGCGAGUAUUUCUACAUGAGAGCCGCGUUGAUCACGACGGUGCACGACUAUCUCGGUUACGGAUAUGUCGCAGGCCAGGUGUGCCAUGGAUAUUGCGGAUGCACGCGGUGCAUGGAUGAUACGACGUCUCAGCAGCUAAUGUCAAGGAAAUAUGGCGGGUCUAGGAAAAUCAUGUACAUGGGGCAUCGAAGAUGGCUCGAACAAGACGACCCAUGGAGAAACCAUGGAGAUCUAUUCAAUGGUCAAUCUGAGCAUCGAGGACCUUCACGUAAGCGGAGCGGUGCCGGAAUCGAUGAGCUGUUGAAAAACUGGACGGAGUGCCCCGCGCUGGGAAAGACGAUGAGAAAGGCGCUAGAGCCGCUGCUGAAGGUAUGGAAGACGAGGUCUGUGUUCUGGGACAUGGAAUACUGGCACAAACUUGAUACACCUCAUUGCCUUGAUCAAAUGCAUAUCUGUAAGAAUGUCCUUGAGAGCUUGCUCGCAACACUGAUGAGCAUGCCGGAUAAGACCAAGGAUGGGCCGAAGGCAAGAAAAGACUUGCAAGAUUUGAAAAUCAGGGAAGAUCUGCACAUGCCGCCCCGUAAAAUGUCAGAUGAGACAGAGACGGAGAUAGAGGCACGGGAGAAGAAGGGCAAGAAAAUAAAGAAAGAUGAUUAUUGCCCCCCUUCUUGCUUCACCUUAAGUCAGGCUAAGAUCGAUCAAUUCUUUAAGUGCCUUACCGGAGUCAAAGUUAGUUCCGGUUACUAUGGAAAGAUAAGCAGAUAUCUAGACACGAACAAGAAAAGGUUCAGCGGGAUGAAGUCCCACGACUGUCAUGUGAUGAUGACGCAGAUAAUACCUAUUGCCCUUAGAGGGAUAACGGGCAAGCACGUCCGUGACACGCUUAUUGGUCUCUACAACUUUUUCGACGUCAUCUGUCGAAAGUCGAUCAGUGUGAAGUAGCUUCGUAAGCUACAGGAAGAGAUCGUUGUGAUACUGAAUGAGCUUGAGAUGUACUUCCCGCCCGCGUUAUUUGACGUGAUGGUGCAUCUGUGUCUCCAUAUUGUGGAUGACAUAAUAGACCUGGGGCCGUCAUUCCUGCACAACAUGAUGCCGUUUGAGAGGAUGAAUGGGAUCAUCAAAGGAUUCGUUCGUAACAUGUCCCGUCCGUAUGGAAGCAUCGUCCAGGGCUAUGUGACACAAGAGUGCAUCUCUUUCUGCGAGAAUUUUCUAUAUGGCGCAGACCAGCCGCCUAGUGUUAGUGUUGGUUUGCCCGUUAACAAGCACGAUGGGAAGCUUGAAGGAGAAGGUCACUGCAACGGUCGCAAGGAACUGUACGUGGCAUACUCAGAUCGAUGUAGCGACUUUGACAGAGCAAACUUGGUAGUGCUACAACACCUAGACGAGGUAGAUCCUUUCGUGGCACUGCAUAAAGAAAUUAUCGCAAGGAAGUAUCAUGACCGGGGGGUAUGCAGGACGGACGCCAAAGUUACUAGAGAGCACAACUCCAUUUUCCUACAUUGGUUCAAAGAGCAUAUUAUUGCUAAUCCUCUGGAGGAGGGCUCUAAGGACGGAUUGCUCAUAUACGCCUUAGCACAUGGCCCCUUGCCCAACCUCAUACCUAUCAGAGAUAUGAUAUCAACGGAUACACGUUCUACACGGAUGCCAAAGAUAUGGACAGUGAUGAUCAGAACUCAGGGGUGACGAUGGAAUGCAUGACCGGCAGCGACAACAGCGCAACUGAACGAUUUUAUGGAAGGGUCGAGGAGAUCUGGGAGCUUGACUACUCUGGACUGCACAACACGACGAUGUUCCGUGUCAGAUGGGCUAAGAAUGCCGAAAGAGAAAGCCAGAUUUUCACUAUCAUGACUAUACCCGACGCCAAGAGCGCUACAUGAACGCUAGUGCAAAAAACGAGCCAUGGGUACACGCUAAGGGUGACACAAUGCUUCUUCAUAACCGACCCGCACAAUCCCAGUCGUGUUGUCAUGAGGAGAGGCAAAAGGAAUAUCAUUGGAAUGGAUGGAGUCGCCAACGAGGAAGACUACGAUCAGUACGGCAACCCAAUGAGGGAAGAUGACAAUGAUGAUGAAGUAUACGUCAAAAGAAGAAUUAAUACUACAUUACCUAAGAAACAUCGUACUCCAUGGAAAAGGCAAAGUCACAAUGAGGGGCUCAACUAUUCUUCGACGAACAAGAAGGGAAAGAAGCUGACUCAAAAACUAAAACGUCAACGCUGAGGAACUGUAUGUUAUCGGUCAAAUGAUGUAAUAUAUAUAUAUAUAUAUAUAUAUAUAUAUAUAUAUAUAUAUUCCUAUUUUGUAUACGUAUUUAACCGUCAAAUGAUGCAAUAUAUAUCGCCUUCCUUUCAUUCACUGCUCUCGCUACAACUAGUCAAGGUAGUAGCGGUUUACUGAAAAAAAGCGAGAGAAAAUAAAGGAAAAGAAAAAGGAAAACUGGUUAUAGUAGUAGCGGUUUACUGAAAAAGAGCUAAAGCUAGUCAAGGUAGCAGUAGCGUUUUCCUUAAAAACCGCUAUAGCUACAUGUAUUAGUAGUAACGUGUUUGGUCUAAAUGCGCUACUGCUACGUCCACGUAACCGAAAAUCAUCCCUCUCUCUGCUUCAUCCCGCCUCUUUUCCCCCCAAAUCUCCAUUCUCUAUUCCCCCGUCGCACCGCCGUGCCCCGAUGCUCGCCCCCGACCCCGGCGCUCGCCCUCGACCCGGCCCUCGCCCCCGACCCCGGCGCUCGCCCCUGCUACGUCUUGAGCUUGUGUUGGUUUUCCUUGAAGAGGAAAGGGUGAUGCAGCAAUAGUAGCGUAAGUAUUUCCCUUAGUUUUUGAGAACCAAGGUAUCAAUCCAGUAGGAGGCUCCUCAAAAGUCCCACGCACCUACACAAACAAAGAAAGAACUCGCAACCAACGCAAUAAAGGGGUUGUCAAUCCCUUCACAACCACUUGCAAAAGUGAGAUCUAAUAGAGAUAGUAUGUUAAGAUAAAUAUUUUUUUGGUAUUUUAUAAUAUAGAUGCAAAAAGUAAAGAUGCAAAUAAAAGUAGAUUGCAAGCUUAUAUGAUAAAAGAUAGACCCGGGGGCCAUAGGUUUCACUAGAGGCUUCUCUCAAGAUAGCAUAAGUAUUAUGGUCGGUGAGCAAAUUACUAUCGAGCAAUUGAUAGAAAAGUGAAUAAUUAUGAGAUUAUCUAGGCAUGAUCAUGUAUAUAGGCAUCACGUCCGUGACAAGUAGACCGACUCCUGCCUGCAUCUACUACUAUUACUCCACACAUCGACCGCUAUCCAGCAUGCAUCUAGAGUAUUAAGUUCACAAGAACAGAGUAAUGCAUUAAGAAAGAUGACAUGAUGUAGAGGGAUAAACUCAUGCAAUAUGAUAUAAACCCCAUCUUUUUAUCCUCGAUGGCAACAAUACAAUACGUGCCUUGCAACCCUUUCUGUCACUGGGUAAGGACACCGCAAGAUUGAACCCAAAGCUAAGCACUUCUCCCAUGGCAAGAAAGAUCAAUCUAGUAGGCCAAACCAAACUGAUAAUUCGAACUUGCAAAGAUAACUCAAUCAUACAUAAAAGAAUUCAGAGGAGAUUCAAAUAUUUCUCAUAGAUAAACUUGAUCAUAAACCCACAAUUCAUCGGAUCUCAACAAACACACCGCAAAAAGAGUUUACAUCGAAUAGAUCUCCACAAGAGAGGGGGAGAACAUUGUAUUGAGAUCCAAGAGGAGAGAAGAAGCCAUCUAGCUAAUAACAUUGGAGCCGAAGGUCUGUGGUAAACUACUCACAACUCAUCGGAGGGGCUAUGGUGUUGAUGUAGAAGCCCUCCGUGGUCGAUUCCCCCUCCGGCGGAGCGUCGGCGAAGGCUCCAAGAUGGCAUCUCGCGGAUACAGAAGGUUACGGUGGUGGAAAUUGUGUUUCGUUGGCUUCCUGGAUGUUUUCGGGGUACGUAGGCUUAUAUAGGAGGAAGAAGUACGUCGGUGGCCGCCCGAGGGGCCCACGAGAUAGGGGGCGCGCCCUACCCUCUUGUGGCCGCCUCGGCUUCUUGUUGACUUGCACUCCAAGUCCUCUGGAUCACGUUCGUUCCACAAAUCACGCUCCCGAAGGUUUCAUUCCAUUUGGACUCUGUUUGAUUUUCCUUUUCUUCGAAAUACUGAAAUAGGCAAAAAAAAGCAAUACGGGCUGGGCCUCCGGUUAGUAGGUUAGUCCCAAAAAUGAUAUAAAUGUGUAGAAUAAAUCCCAUAAACAUCCAAAAGGGGUAACAUAAUAUCAUGGAACAAUCAAAAAUUAUAGAUACGUUGGAGACGUAUCAAGCAUCCCAAGCUUAAUUCAUGCUCGUCAUUGAGUAGGUAAAUAAAAACAGAAUUUUUGAUGUGGAAUGCUACCUAGCAUAAUUCUCAAUGUAAUUUUCUUUAUUGGGGCAUGAAUGUUCAGAUCCAAAUGAUCAAAAUAAAAGUUCAUAUUGACAUAAGAAAUAGUGAUACUUCAAGCAUACUAAUCAAAGCAAGCAUGUCUUCUCAAAAUAACAAGGCCAAAGAAAGUUAUCCCUACAAAAUCAUAUAGUCUGGCUGUUGCUCUAUCUUCAUCACACAAAGUAUUUAAUCAUGCACAACCCUGAUGACAAGCCAAGCAAUUGUUUCAUACCUUAAUAAUCUCAAACUUUUCAACUUUCACCAAUACAUGAGCGUGAGCCAUGGACAUAACACUAUAUGUGAAGUAGAAUGGUGGUUGUGGAGAAGACAAAAAGGAGAAGAUAGUCUCACAUCAACUAGGCGUAUCAACGGGCUAUGGAGAUGCCCAUUAAUAGAUAUCAAUGCGAGUGAGUAGGGAUUGCCAUGCAAGGGAUGCACUAGAGCUAUAAAUAAAUGAAAGCUCAACAAAAGAAACUAAGUGGGUGUGCAUCCAACUUGCUUGCUCACGAAGACCUAGGGCAUUUAGAGGAAGCCCAUCAUUGGAAUAUACACGCCAAGUUCUAUAAUGAAAAAUUCCUACUAGUAUAUAAAAGUGACAACAUAGGAGACUCUCUAUCAUGAAGAUCAUGGUGCUACUUUGAAGCACAAGUGUGGAAAAAGAGAUAGUAGCAUUGUCCCUUCUCUCUUUUUCUCUCAUUUUAUUUUUUUCUUUUCUUUUUCUCUUUUUCUUUUUUUCUUUGGCCUUUCUUUUUUUGUCCUUUUUUUGUAAAGUCCGAAGUCUCAUCCCGACUUGUGGGGGAAUCAUAGUCUCCAUCAUCCUUUCCUCACUGGGACAAUGCUGUAAUUAAUGAAGAUCAUCACACUUUUAUGGAUUUACAACUCAAGAAUUACAACUCAAAGCUAGAACAAGAUUUGACUCUAUAUGAAUGCCUUCGGCGGUGUACCGGGAUAUGCAAUGAAUCAAGAGCGACAUGUAUGAAAAUUAUGAAGGUGGCCUUGCCACAAAUACAAUGUCAACAACAUGAUCAUGCAAAAAGCAAUAUGACAAAAGUAAUGCGUGUCAUAUGAACAGAAUGGUGGAAAGUUGCAUGGCAAUAUAUCUCGGAAUGGCUAUGGAAAUGCCAUAAUAGGUGGGUAUGGUGGCUGUUUUGAGGAAGGUAUAUGGUGGGUGUAUGGUACCGGCGAAAGUUGCGCAGCACAAGAGAGGCUAACAAUGGUGGAAGGGCGAAAGUGUGUAUAAUCCAUGGACUCAACAUUAGUCAAAAGAACUCAUAUACUUAUAGCAAAAAUCUACAAGUCAUCAAAAAGAAAGUAUUACGUGCAUGCCCCUAGGGGGAUAGAUUGGUACGAAAAGACCAUCGCUCGUCCCCGACCGCCACUCAUAAGGAAGACAAUCAAUAAAUAAAAUUGUGCUCCAACUUCAUCACAAAGCGGUUCACCAUACGUGCAUGCUACGGGAAUCACAAACCUCAACACAAGCAUUUUUCAUAAACACCUCAACUAGCAUGACUUUAAUAUCACUACCUCCAUAUCUCAAAACAAUUAUCAAGUAUCAAAUUGAUCAUAGCAUCCAAUUCACUUUCUAUGAUAGUUUUUCUUAUACCCAACUUGGAUGCUCAUCAUUCUAGGACCAAAUUUGUAACCAUAGCAAAUACCAUGCUGUUCUAAAAGACUCUCAAAAUAAUAUAAGUGAAGCAUGAGAGACUAGAAAUUUCUUCAAAAUUAAUCCACCGCCGUGCUCUAAAAGAUAUAAGUGAAGCACUAGAGCAAAAAUUAUCAAGCUCAAAAGAUAUAAGUGAAGCACAUAGAGUAUUCUAGCAAAUUCUAAUCAAGUGGGAUUCUCCCAAAAUGUGUGUACAUCAAGGAUGAUUGUGGUAAACUAAAAAUCAAAGACUAAUAUAAUACACGACGCUCCAAGCAAAACACAUAUCAUGUGGCGAAUAAAAAUAUAGUUCCAUGUAAAGUUACCAAUGAACGAAGACGAAAGAGGGGAUGCCUUCCCGGGGCAUCCCCAAGCUUAGUAUUUUGGCUAUCCUUGAAUAUCUUGGUGUUCCAUGGGCAUCCCCAAGCUUAGGCUCUUGCCACUCCUUAUUCCAUAGUCCAUAAAAGCAUUACCCAAAACUUGAAAACUUCACAACACAAAACUCAACAGGAAAUCUUAUAAGCUCCGUUAGUGAAAGAAAACAAAACCACCACAUAAUGUACUGUAAUGAACUCAUUCUGUAUUUAAUUUGGUGUUAAACCUACUGUAUUCCAACUUCUCUAUGGAUUAUAAACUAUUUUACAAGACAUAGAUGCAUCAAAAUAAGCAAACAACACACGAAAAACAGAAUCUAUCAAAAACAGAACAAUCUGCAGCAAUAUAUAACUAAUGCAAACUUAUGGAACUCUAAAACUCCUACCAAAAUAGGAAAUCUUGGACAAUUUGUCUAUUGAUCAUAAGCAAAAAGAAUCAACGCAAAAUCACGUUUCUGUGAUUUAACAAAACUAAAUUCGUGCGCGCCAAUUUUCUGCUUUUCAGCAGAAUCAAAUCAACUAUCAUCAUAGGUUAUCCUAUAGGUUCUACUUGGCACAAACACUAAUUAAAAGAUAAAAACACAUCUAAACAGAAGGUAGAUGCAAGAUUUAUUACUAAACAGGAACAAAAACAAAAAAACACAAAGAAAAUUGGGUUGCCUCCCAACUAGCGCUAUCGUUUAACGCCCCUAGCUAGGCAUAAAAGCGAAGAUAGAUCUAAGUAGUGCCAUCUUUGGAACUAAAUUCAUAAGUAGCCCGCAUGAUAGAUUCAUAAGGUAAUUUGACUUUAUUUCUUGGAAAGUUCUCCAUGUCUUUUUUAAUGGAAAUUGGAAUCUAAUAUUCCCUUCCUACAUAUCAAUAAUCGCGCCAAUCGUUCUAAGGAAAGGUCUACCAAGAAUAAUAGGGCAAGAAAGAUUGCAUUCUAUAUCAAGAAUGAUAAAAUCUACGGGCACCAAAUUUCUAUUUGCAACAAUGAGAACAUCAUUGAUCCUUCCCAUUGGCUUUUUAAUGGUGGAAUCCGCAAGGUGCGAAUUUAAAGAGCAAUCAUCAAGAUCAUGGAAACCUAGAAUAUCACAUAAAGUUUUCGGAAUCAUGGAAACACUAGCACCCAAAUCAUACAAAGAAAAACACUCAUGAUCUUUAAUUUUAAUCUUUAUAGUAGGUUCGCACUCAUCAUUAAGUUUUCUAGGUAUAGAAACUUCCAAAUUAAGUUUUUCAUCAUAAGAUUGCAUCAAGGUAUCAAGGAUAUGUUUGGUAAAAGUUUUAUUUUGACUAUAAGAAUGAGGAGAAUUAACAACUUAUUGCAACAAGGAAAUACAAAUUUCUAAAGAACAAUUAUCAUAAUCAAAUUCCUUGAAAUCAGAGAUAGUGGGUUGGAUACUAUUUAAAGUCAUGACCUCUCCAAUCCCACUUUUAACAAAUUUAGCAUCAAGAUCUAAAAACUCCGAAUUCUUGGGAUGCCUUCUAGGUAAAGUUGACUCAUCUUCAGUCCCAAAAUUAUCAAGAUUCAUAUUGCAAAACAAAGAUCUAAUAGGAGACGCAUCAAUAACUUUAAGAUCUUUAUCAUUAUUUUCAUCUAAACUAGAAGAACACGCCUUUAUAAAGCAAUCUUUCUUAGCACGCAGUCUAGCGGUUCUUUCCUUGCACUCAUCAAUGGAAAUUCUCAUUGCUUUGAGAGACUCAUUGAUAUCAUGCUUAGGAGGAGUAGAUCUAAGUUUAAGAGAAUCAACAUCAAGCGAAAGUCUAUCAACGUUCCUAGCCAAAUCAUCAACUUUGAGCAAUUUUUCUUCAAGCAAGGCAUUAAAAUUCUUUUGAGAGAUCAUAAAUUCUUUCACACUAUUCUCAAAAUUAGAGGGCAUCCUAUUAAAAUUAACAUAAGAAUUAUUGUAGUAAUUUCCAUAAUUAUGAGAGGAAUUACUAGGGAACGGUCUAGCAUUAAAGUUUCCUCUAUAAGCAUUGUUACCAAAACUAUUCCUACCAACAAAAUUCACAUCCAUAGAUUCAUUAUUAUUCUCAAUCAAAGUAGACAAAGGCAUAUCAUUGGGAUCAAGAGGAGUAUUUUUAGUAGCAAACAAUUUCAUAAGUUCAUCCAUCUUUCCACUCAAAACAUUGAUUUCUUCUAUAGCAUGCACUUUUUUACUAGAAGAUCUUUCGGUGUGCCAUUGAGAAUAAUUAGCCAUAAUAUUAUAAAGAAGUUUUGUAGCAUAUUCUAAUGUGAUUUCCAUAAAUGUGCCUCCCGCGGCCGAAUCUAAAAGAUUUCUAGAAGCAAAGUUCAAACCGGCAUAAAAUUUUUGUAUGAUCAUCCAUAAAUUCAAACCAUGAGUAGGGCAAUUGCGAAUCAUCAAUUUCAUUCUUUCCCAAGAUUGGGCAACAUGCUCAUGAUCAAGUUGUUUAAAAUUCAUAAUAUCGUUCCUAAGAGUGAUAAUCUUAGCGGGAGGAAAAUACAUAGAGAUAAAAGCAUCUUUGCACUUGUUCCAAGAAUCAAUACUAUUUUUAGGCAAAGACGAAAACCAAACUUUAGCACGAUCUCUAAGGAAAGACGGAAAUAACUUCAAUUUAACAAUAUUGUUAUCCGUAUCUUUCUUCUUUUGCAUAUCACACAAAUCAACAAAGUUGUUUAGAUGAGUAGCGGCAUCUUCACUAGGAAGGCCGGCGAGUUGAUCUUUCAUAACAAGAUUCAGCAAAGCAGUAUUGAUUUCACAAGACUCAACAUCAUUAAGAGGAGAAAUCGGAGUACUAAGAAAAUCAUUAUUAUUGGUAUUGGAGAAAUCACAUAAUUUGGUAUUAUCUUGCACCUUGGCAACAAGUAAUCCAACACACAAGCAAACAGAAAAAGGCAAGCAAAAGAGAUAGGAGGAGAUUGGGAAAGAGAGGGCGAAUAAAACGGCGAGGGUGAAGUGGGGGAGAGGAAAACGAGAGGCAAAUGGCAAAUAAUGUAAAUGCGAGGGAGAUGAGUUUGUGAUGGGUACUUGGUAUAUAUCUUGACUUGAGCGAAGACCUCCCCGACAACGGCGCCAGAAAUCCUUCUUGCUACGUCUUGAGCUUGCGUUGGUUUUCCUUGAAGAGGAAAGGGUGAUGCAGCAAUAGUAGCGUAUGUAUUUCCCUUAGUUUUUGAGAACCAAGGUAUCAAUCCAGUAGGAGGCUCCUCAAAAGUCCGACGCACCUACACAAACAAACAAACAACUCUCAACCAAUGCAAUAAAGGGGUUGUCAAUCCCUUCACGGCCACUUGCGAAAGUGAGAUCUAAUAGAGAUAGUAUGAUAAGAUAAAUAUAUUUUUGGUAUUGUAUAAUAUAGAUGCAAAACGUAAAGAUGCAAAUAAAAGUAGAUUGAAAGCUUAUAUGAUAAAAGAUAGACCCGGGGGCCAUAGGUUUCACUAGAGGCUUCUCUCAAGAUAGCAUAAGUAUUACGAUGGGUGAACAAAUUACUAUCGAGCAAUUGAUAGAAAAGCGAAUAAUUAUGAGAUUAUCUAGGCAUCAUCAUGUAUAUAGGCAUCACGUCCGUGACAAGUAGAACGACUCCUGCCUGCAUCUACUACUAUUACUCCACACAUCGACCACUAUCCAGCAUGCAUCUAGAGUAUUAAGUUCAUAAGAACAGAGUAACGCAUUAAGAAAGAUGACAUGAUGUAGAGGGAUAAACUCAUGCAAUAUGAUAUAAACCCCAUCUUUUUAUCCUCGAUGGCAACAAUGUGCCUUGCAACCCUUUCUGUCACUGGGUAAGGACACUGCAAGGUUGAACCCAAAGCUAAGCACUUCUCCCAUGGCAAGAAACAUCAAUCUAGUAGGCCAAACCAAACUGAUAAUUCGAAGAGACUUGCAAAGAUAACUCAAUCACACAUAAAAGAAUUCAGAGGAGAUUCAAAAAUUUCUCAUAGAUAAACUCGAUCAUAAACCCACAAUUCAUUGGAUCUCGACAAACACACCGCAAAAAGAGUUUACAUCGAAUAGGUCUCCACAAGAGAUAGGGAGAACAUUGUAUUGAGAUCCAAAAAGAGAGAAGAAGCCAUCUAGCUAAUAACUAUGGACCCGAAGGUCUGUGGUAAACUACUCACAACUCAUAGGAGGGGCUAUGGUGUUGAUGUAGAAGCCCUUCGUGGUCGAUUCCCCCUCCGACGGAGCGCUGGCGAAGGCUGCAAGAUGGGAUAUCGCGGAUACAGAAGGUUAUGGUGGUGGAAAUUGUGUUUUCGGGGUACUUAGGCUUAUAUAGGAGGAAGAAGUACGUCGGUGGCCACCCGAGGGGUGGGCAUGCCUUACCCUCUCGUGGCCGCCUCGAUUGCUUCUUGACUUGCACUCCAAGUCCUAUGGAUCACGUUCAUUCCAAAAAUCACGCUCCCGAAGGUUUCAUUCCGUUUGGACUCCGUUUGAUAUUCAUUUUCUUCAAAAUACUAAAAUAGGCAAAAAAACAGCAAUACGGGCUGGGCCUCCGGUUAGUAGGUUAAUCCCAAGAAUGAUAUAAAUGUGUAAAAUAAAGCCCAUAAACAUCCAAAAGGGGUAAUAUAAUAGCAUGGAACAAUAAAAAAUUAUAGAUAUGUUGGAGACGUAUCACCCCCGACCCCGGCGCUCGCCCCCGACCCAGCCCUCGCCCCCGACCCCGGCGCUUGCUCCCGACCCCAGCGCUCGCUCCCGACCGCGAUGCGCCAUGCCUCCCUCCUCUGCUUCCUCCCCUCCCAACCUCGGCCGCCGUCGGGCCUGCCUCCUCGCCCCUGCACCCUCUAUAAACCCCCCUCUCUCCCUCUCUGCUAGCUAGGGUUAAUUAGGUUAAUUGGGUUAUUUAUUUAGUUAUGAAUUUAGCUAGGUUGAAUUUAUAUGCAAAUUUAGGUAGGCUGAAUUUAGGUAAGCUGAAUUUAUAUGCAAAUUUGAACUGGACAUGUGAUAUGUGGACAUGUCAUGUUUUGGACAUGUCAUGUUUGGAAUUUAGACAUGUCAUUUGGACAUGUGAUGUUUUGGUUCAAUUUUGGUAAAUGAUCUGAGUGGCCUAUGUUACGCCGGAAUGUUGAUUCAUUUCCGUUCCAGCGAAUUUCAGGCGCUCGAUAUGUCCAUUUUUUUUAGCAAAGGUCAUGCCGAACUUUUCCAUGAAUUUUGGCAUGAUUUGUGCUAGAUAGUAGGCAUAUCGAGUGCUGGCACAUAGAUUUCUUUUUUAUGUCAUUUCUCAUUUUUUUCAUACUUUUAGAAAUAAAUGAGGAGACUUAAUCAUAGGAAACAUGUCGAACAACAAAGAAACUGGGCCUUCUGACCAAGAUGUAGACGAGAUGGAUUAUGAGGGUGAACAAGAGUACCUCGACUAUUUGACUGCUAAGCGAGGUUUGCAGGUCGGCCUCGAUGAUGGUACUGAUGCCGACAUCGACACCGACGGUGCCGGCACCGAUGGUGGCGCCGAGACCGGCGGGGAAGGUACCGGCAGGAAAGAUACCAGCGGGGAAGGUACUGGCGCCGAUGCCGCUACCGAAAAGAAGAAGCAUAAGAAGCAGAGGAUACAAAAAUCUAACAAGCUAGGGAUUGGACGACUAGUGAUCACAAAGAUGGCACUUGGCAAGUUUGAGCCAUUAGAGCCGGAAGAACCUCGCAAGUGCUAUGGGAACCAAGUAGGAUGCAUCCUACGGGAAUGCGCGAGCAUCAACGACGACGACUUAAGGAGUAAAGAACAUUUGACGCAGUUGCUCCUAACGAAGUUGCACAAGAGAUUCAAGUUCCCCGACCGGGAUGAUAACAUAGAACAACCAUGGGAUGAUCCGAAGAUGAAAAAGAUUAACAAUCAUACCAUGGGCAUGUUCAGCAAUGAUUUGGACUCCUGGAAAGGGAGAGUGAAACGAGCUAUUGAGGCUGAGGAACCCCUAUCCAAGAUUCUGGAGGAAAAUCCGACACUUACGGAAGAGGACUUCGAAAAGUUCAAGGACACUUGCGCUACCGAGGCAGCCAAGGCUAAGGCUGCGAAAUUCAAGAACCUUCAGCAAAGGAAUGUGGGGAAGCAUCGCCUCGGAAGCCGUGGCUACCUCGGUAAAAGGCCCAUAUGGGAUAAGGAGGACGCGGAACGUGAAGCCGCGGGUCUCCCAGACCCCUUCGCGAAGUUCACCAACCCCUUGGAGCAUGACUUCAUCAGGGCCCGCUACAAGUGGGACAAGAAAAAAAAGGUUUUUUACACGGACCAGAUCACGAGGAAAUUGAUUAGACUACUGGUAGUUAUUCUUUUAGCACCUUACAUUUAGCUCCAUAUCUACUCGACUACGCAUUCCUAAACGGUUCACGCUCCUUCUACAGGAGAAGCAACACCAGCUUGCAGCCAAAAGCCCUACUUCUCCGAUGAGGCCCAAGUGAGACACCCCUCUCAACCGGGCCAUGAACGAACUUAAGGGACUCCCUUUGGGCCAGUGGCCGCAAUAUGGUCGUGUACAUGGGGCUGGAGACGGCGCCACGUGGAAGGUGUUUUACAAUGAGGGCCCGGAGGCCAAGAAGCAGAAAAAGAAGUUUAGUCAGGCGGGCAUCGACGCGAAGCUGAAGCUUGCGGUCGAGAAAAAACAGCUAAGGACGAGGAAAAAACAGCCGAGGAAAAAAAUGAGUUGCUACAGCAGGCAGUCAAUGAAGCUGUAACUGCCUGCAGAAAUGAUUUCGCUACUAACUUGGUUCCAGCUAUCAUCAACUGGACGAAGGAAAAUCCAGACAAGACGGUACAUGAUUUCCCGAUACCCAAUUUCAUCGAGAGCAACUCCAUGAACAACAACAACACCGCACCAUCACUUGCUCACACAACCGGGCCUCCUCUCGCAGUCGCUCCCGCUCAUAGCAGCCCAUUCUCCGUGUCUGGCACGCUAGGUGGGCCUUCGUCUUUGGUUGAGCUCGACGCCGUCACGGUAAUUACAUGUCGCACCAACAUAUAUAUAUAUAUAUAUAUAUAUAUAUAUAUAUAGAAUAUUACAUUUUUAUUGCCUUUCAGAUGUUUUACGCCACAGACAUAUGUGUUUGCAGGGCGAAGAAACCCCGUGCACCAUACUCUACUUGAUCAAAGGCCAGAAGGUGGACGUGGGAAAGGGGAUGAUAUUGAACCCCUUGAAACCAACGUUCCACAACCAGCCGAUCCCCGCUGGGCACUUCAGGGUUAGCUUGUCCAGUGUGAACUCGGGGCACGAGGCUUUGCCUCCUCCAAUACAUCAUGUGGGAGAGGACGACGAGACCCCGCCGCGGAUUGGAAGCUGCAAGGGUUGGGUGCUGCUAUGGCCGAAGAAUCUUAUUCGUUUGGAACCGGCCGAGAGCACACCAAUAACCACACAUCAACAAGCAUGUGCGGAGACCACCACCCCACCUACGCAAUUACUAGCUCCUGUAGUGUCGGGUGAGAGCGGCGGACGACGUGCUGAAGGGGGUGCAAUAGUAUUGGCUGAUGUAAUCGGUCCUGUAGAACAGAGAAUGGAUGAUGAGACGGAGGUCGACCCUAUGGGUUUCCCCAAUACAAAUGCGUAUGAAUGUGACAUAGAUAUUAUGAGUCAACUAUAUGACGAAUUGGGCUAUCAGCAUGCUAAUGAGGAUAUGGAUGAUAUACCCGGGAAGGAAGGUCGUUGGAAGGAUUGCGAAAAGUCUCUCUUCAUGAAUUCCUCAUAGGACAUGCCUGAAGAUGCCGCCUCAACACAGGCUCAACUAGACGGGGAUCGUACAGUGCUUAGCCCGGGAACCCUGGGGCAGGGGUUAAGGAAGGGUCUGGAAGAUGUGCCCAAGAAAAAGGAGAGGAAGAGAUCGGGGAAGAUAACUGCCUCCAAACAAGCCAAAGCACAUAAUAGCGAGAUGAUGGAUUCUGAAGAGCAUGUACCCGUGAGAGGUGCGGCCAUGUUCCAUCUCACGGGCGAGCCGAUGCUAACGCCGGAACCGCUGGAGGCACUAUCAGGGGAUCUCAGGAGACUGCACGACCAUGUGCUGUCGAUUGAGAAAAGCCUACUAGCCUCAAAGGAUCCAGGAUAUCCGACAUACACGGCUCAUGUGCCUGAGGGGAAGUGCUACGUCGACACACGGUCCGCAGAGGUGUUUUUCCUGCGGUUUGACCAUAUCUUUGAGAUGUUUCUGACAAGGCGGCUCGAUUUUACAAUCGUCCACCUUUUUGCGCUACAUAUGAGCUCCGUCAUGAAGAGUGAAGAAGUCUCGCAAAUCUGUGUGGCGGAUCCAUACUACAUGCACGGGUCUUUCUUGAGUCUCGGCGACUUUGAGCGUGAAACUGCUAGGGACUACCUCCAAAACUUCAUGGUACAGAAUAAGGACCACGAAAUUGUCCUCGUGCCUUAUCAUCCAAAGUAAGUCAGUUCCAGACAACCCUUCUGGCUCAUAUGAAUAAUAAUUUGAGGUGUCUUUUCCCCGCAGCAACGGGCGCGCCGUCCUUAUUGUUCUUUACCCACAAGUCUCCCACGCCGUGUAUUUUGACCCAUCCAGAGACUAUGAGAAAAAGGACUACACCCACAAAUGAAUAUUCUAUAUGAUGCUCUCCAAGGCUUCAACAUUAGAGGUGGCCACAUGCAGAUCAGGAAGAUGGGUUUCACGAAUAAAACUAACUUCUCCUACAUCCAUGUCCCAAAACCAAGCAAGAAGGAUGGAUUCUACAUCGUCCAUCUCAUGAUUCAGUUCAACAUGAUCACCAAAAGCUUUGCAUGACAAGCAGAAAUGAUGAUCAUAUCCACAAGUGGCUAGAAUCUCAUGGAGAAGCGGAUUAUAAACUUAGAGAUGACUUCUUUCGUAUCCAAAGGGACAUUGCGACGAUCAUCAUGAAAGAAGUCGUCGAUGAGAAGGGGAUGUUCCACCACGGCCCUAUAUCGCGAGCUGACGUCCGAACUCGCAUAGGCAUGCAACCUCUAGACCUCACGCUGUUCAAGAAGCUAGGGUCCAUCCUCGAUGAUAUGGAAGGAUAGAACUUCUAGUGAUUUAUGAUGCCGAUGAUGAUGAUAUGUGUCGGUUCAACUUGUAUACUUUUUGUAGCGAUGUAACUUUGUGAUGUCCAUGGUCCCUGCCGAACUUGCGUAACGCUACUUUGUUAGUUUGCAUACGAUGACAUGCGUACCUCUAGUUAAUUAGUUUGCGUACUGUAUGUUGCAUCUAGUUGCUAACCCUUUAUUUUUCGUGUUGCUCUUGUAUAUUUUGCUGCAUAUGAUUGUACAUCCUCUUCAUGAAGAUGCAUCUCUAACAGGUACCUAGUUUCUUGAUGGCGAGAUGGCAGUGCUAUGUCGUGUACAAAGGGAAGGUUCCGGGGGUGUACAACGAGUGGCAUGAGUGUCAGGCGCAAGUGAAUGGGUUCUCGGGCGCCAGCCAUAAAGGCUUCAAAAGCAGACAAGAAGGAGAAGCUAGUUACUUGAGGUUCACGCUAGCACGAGAGAGGACUCGUAACCGCCACCUCAUGUACUGCAUAGUUCCGCUCUCACUCAUAGUGAUAGCUCUUCUCGCGUAUACCUUUGUUUAGAUGGAUGACGUUGUAGUUGCAAGUAUUCGAGACUUGCAUGUAUCGCUAUUUUCGAGAUGAUGACAAGAUACCACUUUGUGUUGGAUGAUGAUUAUGAUGAGACUAUUUGUAUGUAUAUGCUAUGAUUACAUUUGUGGUCUCGCUUGUGUGUGUAUCAUGAUAACAUUUGUAUGUGCUAAAGAUUCUUCUAUAAAUCCUAUUCAAAUACAAAACAAAUAUGCAGAAAAAAACAAAAAACUACUAAAAUUAGCAGUAGCAAGUGGAGAAAAGUUAGCAGCAGCGCGAUAGUAGCAGUAGCGCGCACAGGAGAAGCGCGCUAUAGCUAUUAGCAGUAGCGAGCUCCCUGUAAGAACGCUGAUGCUACACUUGUAUAUCAGUAGCGCCGCCUCCCGCGCUACUGAUAUACCUAGAACCCGCGUUGCUGCUAGGCUUUUCCCUAGUAGUGUGAUAUCAGGAAAUGAACAAAGUUGCCAAUAUGGUGCGAUAAUGAUCGAUUGAACUUACUUCUGGUGCAUUCCAGUCAUGUCCGCAUAGUCCUCGGGAUCUUUUCGUCUCAAGUCUAAGACGGUUACUUCUCCGUUCUCAAGCUUAUUUACUAGGAGAAUAAAGUGGAAGCUGCGCAUGCAUGCACAACUCAUCAGUUACAUGACUAUAACCUCGAGUAAUAAAGGAAAUCGAAUAUGCACAAGACAGUAACACUCACUUGAAGUUGUAAGGAAAGAAUAUUUUAUCUUUGGUUUGAUUUUUGAGCAACGAUUUGAGCAAGUUGUCCUCGGUUUCUGUGACAUUCUUUUGAACCGUCCAUUCAUGUAUGACAUUUGGGUUAAUGAACCCAAUGUGAUAGAUUUGUGCUUUUCUGCAUUCGACGAUCUUCAAUCUGCAUAAUAUAGUGAGGCUAAUUAUAUAACAUGCAAUGAAAGAGCUGAGCUAUAUAUAGAGAGACUUAAUUACAGAAAGUAGUGCUUACAGACACUAGAAAACCACAAGUGAUUUGUCGAGGGACUUUUCAUUGUAGAACUCGAAAAACUCGUCAAAAGCAACAGUUAACAGUUCUUGGCCAAUGAAGUCGUGGUCCUCUUUGAUCAACAUCGACAAAGCAUCCUUCCCAGACUCGAUGCAGGUUUUCAUGUACCAGUCUUGGAAUCUUUGCAUCAUCGUUGUUAGAGCAAGAGUAUCAUUGACAAGAGGCUUCCCAUAAUGGUAUUUGAAUUCGUCCACCUCCAUUGUUUCAAAAUCUACAUCGUCAGGCAGGUAAUCACCAAUAGUGAAACUGGGCAGCAGCGCCUGAAUUGCGACUAUAUGGCUACACACCUUGAGCGAGGGGGGAUGAUUGGUUCUCCUGUUCUUCGAGAUGGGGAUUUUUCCCACUUCUUCAUUCUUUUAACCUUUUGUCAGUUGAAGUACUUCCUGACUGGCGCGCUUCUUGCAAUGUCUUUUCAAGAUAGCGGAGAUGGUUUUUAUCUGGCGAACACGGUGGUGGUCGCUUCAGGGCAUUGAUAGUGUGCUUUGCUUUCACCGGAUCUGUCUUCUCCUCCGGAGGUGGAUGUUUCAUAGCUUUUAGGGUUUCAAAGAAGUCCUUCACUUGGGCUUGAACAAUCUGCUCGUUUUCCUCCACGGUCAUCUCGUAUGGUAAGUUCUCUACAGGCUUGAGAGAUGGACUGAAUCUGUAUUGUCUCCCGGCUCUACCUGUACUGCUAGACACCAGAGCAGCGGUGGCUCUCUUCUGUUGCUACUGACGAGUAGUAGAAGGAGGCGGAGUGGUCCGAUGCGCCGCAGCAGCCGGAGCGGCGGCGUCUAUGUUCCACCGUUGCCGAUGAGGCGGGGGAGGAGGCGGGCUGCUCGGACGUGCGAGAGCAGGCGGAGAAGGAGGCGGAGUGCCUUCCUCAAGCGCCAGAGCAGGAGGCGGAGUGCCCUAAUCACUGGCCGGAGGAGGAGGAGGAGGAGGAGGAGGAGGCGGAGGAGACAGAGUGGUCAGCUGACUCGCCGGAGGAGGAGGAGGAGGCGGAGGCGUAAAUUUCAGAAGCUUGAUGUGCUACUUCCGCCAUAGACAUGGAGUCUUUAGAGCAAGACCUAGCUGAGUAUCCCCUUCACCUGUAGGGUGGUCAAGCUAGAGCUCCUUAAAUCCCUCCGUUAUUUCAUCCACCAUCACAACAGAAUAGCCUUGUGGAAUCGGAAGGCAGUGAAAAGUUGCGUCGGGUUUAGGAGGUGCAACAAAGCCGACGGCCGCCUUGACUUUGAGAUUCUGCCAUUGCGUCAUAAGCUGGCACUGGUGAGCCUCCGUGAUAGCAUCCACGGGGUAGCUAGGAGCCGUGAAGUCAGGCUGCUGAACGAGCUCGGUGGAAGCCACGAUGCUUCUCCACUGAGAUGGCGGGGUAGCUUCUGGGGUAGCUUGGGCAGGUCACUUGUUCUCAACAACUUGUUCCUCUAGCUUUCGUACCCUUGCAUUCAGCUUCUACAGUUUGCUCAGCUCCACUUUCCUCCUCCUCUCUUGGGUUUUGUAACCGCCUGCGUUGGGAAAGCCAACCUUCCACGCAACAGAGCCUGGCGUGCGUCGUGUUCGUCCAGGGUGCUCAGGAUUCCCGAGGGCCUGUGUGAGCUCGAUGUUCUCUCUGUCGAGAACGAACGUCCCUUGCUGCGCUGCGAUGAUAUACUUCUGAAGCUUCUUGACGGGUAUUUCAAGUUGCUCGUCCGUCCAAACGCACUUCCCUGUUUCACGGUCCAACGUUCCCCCAAUCCCGAAGAACCAAGUCCUUGAACCGUCUGGCCAGUUCAAUGUCUCUUGUUCGACCCCUUUAGCAAUCAGGUCAUUCUCAGCUUUGUCCUGCAACGGCCGGGCUUUGAGGUAGCCACCUGACCCCGUGCGAUGGUGAUGCUCCUUCUUUGCAGCAUUUAUCUUGCUUGUCGCUGACAUCUUCUUACUCUUCUCCGAUGUCUUGUGGGCCACAAAUGCGGCCCAGUGAUCUCUUAUCUUCUCAAAUUGGACGAUGAAUUAUGGAGUCUUGUAUUUGUCGACAUACAUUGAUUUCAACUCAUUCUUCAACCUUCUGAAUAGAUCUGCCAUCUUCUUGAGAGCAUGAGCCUUGACCAAUGGCUCUAUAACUGGCUUAUCCGGAUCCUCCUAUGCCGGUAGGGUGAAAUUUUCCUUCAGCGUGGUCCAAAGAUCAUCUUUCUGUCUAUCUUUGACAUAAGAAACUUGAGGGUCUUCGUUCUUAGGCUUAUACCAUUGGUGGAUGUUGAUCGGGAUCAUGUCCCUAACAAGAACCCCACACUGAGUAGAAAAUGCUUCCUUGGUUCGGAGGGGUUCAAUCGGUUGGCCAUCGCCCGCGAUUGCUGUGAUCGUGAACCUUUCAUCCUAUCGCAACCUUUUCUUCGGCCUCGUCUCUUUACCGAAGUUUGGCUCGAUCCGGAGGGCUAUAAAAGAAGAAAGAAGAGUUAAUAUAUGUACAUACCAAAACAAUUAAUGCAUCAAUUAGCUAGUCAUCACAGGCUUCANNNNNNNNNNNNNNNNNNNNNNNNNNNNNNNNNNNNNNNNNNNNNNNNNNNNNNNNNNNNNNNNNNNNNNNNNNNNNNNNNNNNNNNNNNNNNNNNNNNNNNNNNNNNNNNNNNNNNNNNNNNNNNNNNNNNNNNNNNNNNNNNNNNNNNNNNNNNNNNNNNNNNNNNNNNNNNNNNNNNNNNNNNNNNNNNNNNNNNNNNNNNNNNNNNNNNNNNNNNNNNNNNNNNNNNNNNNNNNNNNNNNNNNNNNNNNNNNNNNNNNNNNNNNNNNNNNNNNNNNNNNNNNNNNNNNNNNNNNNNNNNNNNNNNNNNNNNNNNNNNNNNNNNNNNNNNNNNNNNNNNNNNNNNNNNNNNNNNNNNNNNNNNNNNNNNNNNNNNNNNNNNNNNNNNNNNNNNNNNNNNNNNNNNNNGCAACAGCUGAUCCUGACUCCGUUCAGUCACCGGAGCCGUCAUCACGGUCGUUGGAGCCAUCAUGAUCAUGACUUUCCUCCUCCAUUGUUCGAUCACCGUAGCCUGCUUCCUCUCCUUCUAGACCACCGGUGUCGUUGAGAAAUAACGACAAGACAUCACCUCCGUCGAGGAUUAUGUCCCCCAAUAUCUCUUCUUUUUCAAAUUCUCUUUGUUGAUCCAUACUUUCUGCAAUAUUACAACAUGGCAAUUAAUAUACAAACAUGAGAGAUGGAUAUAUUAAUAUAUUGGCAAACAUAGACCUAGCUAGCUAAGCACAACAAAGAAUAUUAAUUAGUGGCCUCGACGCUUCUACGAUUUGGGCUGGCCUCGACAACGCUUCUAGGUUUUGGGGUGGCCUCGACAACACUCUUUUCAGUUGGUAAAUUUGGGUGGCCUCGACGCUUCUAGGGUUUGGGGUGGCCUCGGCAAUGCUUCUAGGGUUUGGCCCGGACCUCCUCUCUCAUGAUUGUCCGAUGUUCGGACCGCCUCUCUCAUGAAUGUCCAACGUCCGGACCGCCUCUCUCAUGAAUGUCAAACAAGGGAUUUAACAAGAUGGCGCCAUUCUGGAUGUGCCAAAAAUUGUCCCUAUUUUUCCUGAUCUCAUCUACCCUUCUAUAUGUCACGUUGUCUAGUGUCAAAGGAUUCAAUACUUUGACACAAGAGAACAUGCACAUAUAGAAUGGUAGAUGAGAUCAGGAAAAAUAGGGAUCGACUUAAUUAUGCACAUCCAUAAUGGGGGCAUUCUUGAUAAAUCUCGAGAGAGUUUGUCAGGUAGGGGCGGGAGGGGGUACGAGAUUGACAAUGUUUCUUUUCUAUGGUUUGGAUGUCCUCGAGAGUUGGCCGAGCGAGAGGGGGUUGAUCAACGUCCCCCUCUCGACCCCUCGGCGAUCCUCGGCCCUCGACCCCUCGACGACCCUCGACCCUUGACCCUCUACCCUAGUUCCGAUCCUCGACCGCUCGGAUUCUCUUAACCUUUAAGGUAUUUAACAAGAUGGUGCCAUUCUGGAUGUGCAGAAAAUGGUCCAUAUUUUUCCUGAUCUGAUCUACCCUUCUAUAUGUCACGUUGUCUAGUGUCAAAGGAUUCAAAAAAAACCAUUGCUUCAUCAUUUUCCGGAAGUAACAGACGCAUAAUGGUAUGAAGCUCUCCAAAAUUGUUUUGGAACGGAGUCCUGGAUAGGAUAAUUAGCUUUUUGGUACGAAGAUCAGCAAGGGCCUUCCGAAUAUCGCUACUUGGAAGGCCUUUGCUGAAAUUCGUACAAAAAAGCGAGUUAUUCUAUCAGGAACUCCAUUCCAAAACAACUUUGAAGAGCUUUGUAGCAUCAUACGUCUGUUACUUCCAGCAAAUGAUGUAGCCAUGGAUUUCUUCAAUACUUUGACAAACAACGUGACAUAUAGAAGAAUAUAUAUAAUGGGGCAUUCUUGUUAAACGGAUACCCUCGACCCCUAGACGGCCCUCGACCCCUCGACUAUCCUCGACCCUCGACCCCUCGACGACCCUCGACCCUCGACCCCUCAAUGACCCUCGACCCCUCGGCAAUCCUCGAACCUCGACCCAUNNNNNNNNNNNNNNNNNNNNNNNNNNNNNNNNNNNNNNNNNNNNNNNNNNNNNNNNNNNNNNNNNNNNNNNNNNNNNNNNNNNNNNNNNNNNNNNNNNNNNNNNNNNNNNNNNNNNNNNNNNNNNNNNNNNNNNNNNNNNNNNNNNNNNNNNNNNNNNNNNNNNNNNNNNNNNNNNNNNNNNNNNNNNNNNNNNNNNNNNNNNNNNNNNNNNNNNNNNNNNNNNNNNNNNNNNNNNNNNNNNNNNNNNNNNNNNNNNNNNNNNNNNNNNNNNNNNNNNNNNNNNNNNNNNNNNNNNNNNNNNNNNNNNNNNNNNNNNNNNNNNNNNNNNNNNNNNNNNNNNNNNNNNNNNNNNNNNNNNNNNNNACCCUCGACCUUCUACCCUAGUUCCCGACCCUCGACCUCUCGGCGAUCCUCGACACCCUCGUUCCCGAUAAAAAAUAAGAGGAGGAAGAAGUAGAAAAAAAAGAGGAGAAGAAGAAGAAAAAAAGAGGAGAAGUUUUCUAUUUUUUCUUCUUCUCCUCUAUUCCUUCUUCUUCUCCUUUCUUUUCUUCUUCCUCUUCUUAUUUUUUUCUCCUCUUCUUCUCCUUCUUCCUCUUCGUAUUUUCCUAUUUCCUCUCCUUCUUUUUCUUCUUCUUCCUUAUUCCUUCUUCCUCUUUUCUUAUUUUUCCUUAUUUUCCUUCUUAAUCGAUGACCCUAACCCUAAACAGUACAACUAACGACAACGACUUCGCUUGCAUACAUAUGAACAAAUAUGAUCGAUCAUCUAUGAACAUUUGAUUGUUGGCGUCUCUGCCAAUUGCACACAAUAUUUGACCUGACAUUGACCCCUUCAGAAAACAACCAUCUAGCCCCAGAACUCUUCUACAACCAGCUAGGAAACCCUUUUUGCUGGCAUCAAGACAAAUAUACAUUCUUUGGAAAACUGGCAUGUCAAGAAUCUCAGGAUCUAAAGUCACUGCCAUUGUGCUGCAAGGAUUGCUUCUAACUAGCUCUAGGUGGUAGUCAAAGACUCGAGAAUACUCACCAUUUGUCAAACAGGUGAGCUUUUCCAUGACUAGCUUCUUCGCUCUCUUACACUUGGAAAUACUAACAUCAGGCUAGAAGAUCCUCAAGUACCGCCUCCUGCAUAUGCCCUACAUGCCAAGUUGGAUUGUGUCUUAUCUCUCUGAAGUACUUCUUUGCAAUGAUUGUGCUUGUGACAAGCUUGUUGUCCCUCCUAGGAAUGCAGGUGUGCUCAUUAUUAUACCUCACAACUAGCAACCAGUCUGACAUGUUACUAAUUGAACCAUAUAUACUCCAAGGACAACCUGGCCAAGAACACUAUGCACUCACCCUUUUCUUUUCAUCUUUUGGAAAUCUUAAAUGGUGGAAAUUUUCUAUCCCAUACUUAACCAAUGCUUGCUUGAAUUUCCUGCUAUCAGUAAAUGCCAUGCCUACAGCAAACUCUGAUUUCUCUUUACUGUCAUCAUAAACUCUGUGAGUUGUCUUCCUCCUUCUCACUUCAUUUACCUCUUCAUCACUACCUUCAUCAUAUGACAUAUCGUCAUCACUUUCAAUGUAUGGUGUACCUUCUCCAUCUGAAUCAUCUUGCCAAGAGUUUUCAGGCACAAUAAAAUCAGCAGACACAUUGCAUGUUUUGCCCUCAUCUUCUCUCAACAUGUUCUUUCUCACUUUCUCCUUCAAUUCUUUUGCAUAUUUUCUCAUCUCCAAGACCUCAUCAUCAGAUGCUGAGUUGUUGCUCUCUGAAGGGGGAAUAGCAUAGUCACUAUCAGAUAAAUCACUGCCACUUACUUCCUCCUCAACUACACUUGAUUUUCCUCUACUAACCGUUAAUUGAGAUGUCCUUCUAGGCUAGUAAUACAUGUUGGAAAAUUGCCAAGGUUCUGGUUCUUCCAUGUGCCCCUCUGCACCUACAUAUUGGUGCUGGUCCUCUGCACCUACAUAUUGUUGCUGCUCCUCUGAAUUUGCAUGAACCUGCUGCUCCUAUGAAUGUUGUUGCUGCUCUUCUCCAACUGAAUUGUAUUGCUGCUCUUCUGCAUAUAUACUCAUCCUCCCAGUAUCUGCUUCUCUUGCUGCUCUACUCCAUGCCUCAGAUCUAUCCACAAAAUUAAAAGAAUCUGAACUAAAAAACACUCCUUCAAUUUCGGUUCUAGCCGAAUCAUCCCUAAAUCAAAUAAUUUGAGUGUACCACAAUCAAUUAAUCGUACAUAUCAUGGUGGCAGUAAACCAAAUCAAUAAAUCUAUACAUGACGGACGUAAGAUAAUCUGGAACCAAAAUCCAUGAAAUCCCCAAAACCCUGGAAACCCCAACCUAAAACAAAGAAAAUACAAAGGUGUUGCAACACAUGUUUGGGCAUCCAUCUUCGGUGAUUGACCUGCUCGCCAUGCCGCCGUCUGAUUCUCACUUCAUGUCGCCGGUCAUCAUCCCUAAACCUCGUCGCCACCGUCUCUCAGAGAAGGAGAUCGUGUUGGAGAUGAAGAAAAGCGAACAGGAUGGGUUUGGGUCGAACAGGCUCGGGGGCGUCGUUUUAUACCGCACCCAGCAACCUCUGUCUGAUGUGGCCAGUCGAUGGGCCAACCCAGGUGACACAUAUGCAAAACCACCGUCCCAUACCGCUAAAGUGAAGGUUGGGGGUGAUUUGUCCGGUUUAGGAUAGUCUAGGGGAUUAAGAACCCUGUUUUAAAGAUGAGGGGGUUAUGUGAUCCAAAUGGAAUAGUUCUGGGGUUUAUCUAUACUUUUUUACCAAGGUAUUAAUCCAUGAAGGUAGAAGGAACGUGCAAUAGUUGUGUCUCCUUCAUUACAUAUAAAACUAUGCUUGUGUUCCCAACAAUUCUAACAAGGGCAUCAACCCCUACUAGUCUUGCUAGUUGAGCAAGGCUACUGAAAGAUAAAGUGUGAUAAAUAUUUUUGGUAUUUUCGGAAUAAAACAAAACUGAAAAUAAAAUAGCAUGUAAUUGUUAUUGAAAGAUGAUUCUUAUGGUAGAAAUUGGAUCCGGGUUCAUAUGUUCACCGGGUGUAACUCUCCAAUGCAUGAGUGUGGUAGGUGACUUUUUCAUGGGUAUAAGUGCGAUAUGGAAUACUCAUGUUCGUGAAAGAUAAGUAAAUAUUAUGAGAAUAUAUAUAGACAGUACGUCCAUAAUACUAAAGACCGAGACCUUGUCAUGCAUAUUUAGCUAAAUAGUCCGUCAAUAGACCGAGAUACUUUGCACCAUCUAGACAUUAAGUAUAAACACAGAUAAUUGCAUUUAGAACGAUGACAUAUUAUUAUGAUUAGGGGAUUAUUCAUCCUCCACUAACCAUUAACCCUUAAUGGCCAGAAUUCAAACAAGCCUUUUAUAUUUUCUAUCACUAUGGUAGAUUACUCGCAAGACUUGAACUGAACUAAUGCACAGCUCUUUAACUACUGGCGACCGCUCUAAAUUAACUGGCCAAGGGAAUACAAGCAACCGGAAAGAAUUAUGCAUCUAUAUGUCAAACAUGAAUCAUAAAAAACUGAACAUAUAGAGUCCAUCACAUGAUCUACAUCUCCAUCAUAAACUCACUAGAUAAACUACAAUCAUGUAGUGAAGCUCAUGUAGCUAUUUUAUUGAGCAUCAAAAAUACAUCUAUGAGGAGAUAUUUUAACAUUGGUUACCGCCAUGAACCCGUAGUCCAAGGGGUGAAUUACUCACAACUCAUCUUGGAGAAUGACGAUCAAGACACUGGUGGAAAAAGGGCCUUUGGUCGCGGUUCGCAACUGCCAUUAGUCGCGGUUGCGCAACCGCGACCGAACGGGCGCGACUAAAGGCCCCCCCCCCCUUAGUCGCGGUUGCUUAAGAACCGCGACUAAAGGCCCGUCCACGUGGGCGCCAGGUGGCCGUCGGGGCGGAGGACCUUUAGUCGCGGUUCUUCUGGCCAACCGCGACUAAAGGCCGCCGCUGNNNNNNNNNNNNNNNNNNNNNNNNNNNNNNNNNNNNNNNNNNNNNNNNNNNNNNNNNNNNNNNNNNNNNNNNNNNNNNNNNNNNNNNNNNNNNNNNNNNNNNNNNNNNNNNNNNNNNNNNNNNNNNNNNNNNNNNNNNNNNNNNNNNNNNNNNNNNNNNNNNNNNNNNNNNNNNNNNNNNNNNNNNNNNNNNNNNNNNNNNNNNNNNNNNNNNNNNNNNNNNNNNNNNNNNNNNNNNNNNNNNNNNNNNNNNNNNNNNNNNNNNNNNNNNNNNNNNNNNNNNNNNNNNNNNNNNNNNNNNNNNNNNNNNNNNNNNNNNNNNNNNNNNNNNNNNNNNNNNNNNNNNNNNNNNNNNNNNNNNNNNNNNNNNNNNNNNNNNNNNNNNNNNNNNNNNNNNNNNNNNNNNNNNNNNNNNNNNNNNNNNNNNNNNNNNNNNNNNNNNNNNNNNNNNNNNNNNNNNNNNNNNNNNNNNNNNNNNNNNNNNNNNNNNNNNNNNNNNNNNNNNNNNNNNNNNNNNNNNNNNNNNNNNNNNNNNNNNNNNNNNNNNNNNNNNNNNNNNNNNNNNNNNNNNNNNNNNNNNNNNNNNNNNNNNNNNNNNNNNNNNNNNNNNNNNNNNNNNNNNNNNNNNNNNNNNNNNNNNNNNNNNNNNNNNNNNNNNNNNNNNNNNNNNNNNNNNNNNNNNNNNNNNNNNNNNNNNNNNNNNNNNNNNNNNNNNNNNNNNNNNNNNNNNNNNNNNNNNNNNNNNNNCGACGGCGGGCGGCGUCGAGGGCGAGGGCGGCAGGCCUUCGGCGCGGCAGAGAAAGAGCGGAGAAAUGGAGGCGACGGGUCGGGCGGUUGUAUUUAUAGCCCCCCCCUUUAGUCGCGGUUGGGGAGGCGACCCGCGACUAAAGGGCCUUUAGUCGCGGUUGGGGAGGCGACCCGUGACUAAAGGAGAACCUUUAGUCGCGGUCGGGGAGGCGACCCGCGACUAAAGGGUAACCUUUAGUCGCGGUUGGGGAGGCGACCCGCGACUAAAGGACUUUUUUGGCGGGUUUUUCUUUCCCGCGCGCAACCACCUUUAGUCGCGGUUGGGCAGGCCAACCGCGACUAAAGGUAUAUAUAGGGGAGGGGAUUUAGUUGCGGUUGGCCUGGCAAACCGUGACUAAAGGUGCCCGAAGGCCUUUAGUCGCGGUUGUCCUGGCCAACCGCGACUAAAGACCCUCACGUGCGCCAGCUAGCCACCGAGCGCCCUGGUCCCAGGCCUUUGGUCGCGGUUCACCUCCAGAACCGCGACUAAAGGUCCCAUUAGUCGCGGUUCCUACAGCUUCGUGACUUAUGGGGCUGGACGGAAGCCUGUUUUUCCACCAGUGAAGGUUGAUGAUGAUGUUGAUGAACUCCCCCUCCGACAAAGUUCUGGAUCAGGGCUGAAAACGAAAAUCGCCUUGAAAACGUGAUGUGAUGGCGGCAUAAAAAAUACUUGAUAAUUCUGAGUUAAGUUUGGGGGUAUAUAUAAGCCAGGUUAACGGAAGCCAGCCGAGGGACCCAUAGGAAGUAGGUGACCCUAUGCCCUCUAACCCUAAGGAAACCUAGGACUUGUUGGCCUACUAAGUGUGGGUCUAGGUCCCUUGGGGUCCUUCUGUUCGUCAAACUCCCGAAACUAUUUUUUGUUUAUUUUUUGACACUAUUUGUAGGUAUUUUCCUGAAAAUACAAAAACAACACAAAAUAGGAACUCGCAUUAGGCACUAGAUUAAUAUGUUAGUCAAUAAAAACUAUGAUCAAAGUGUUUAUAAUUAAAAUGAUUAUAGCAUGAAACAUACAAAAAUUAUCGAUACGUUUGAGACAUACCAACUGUCACACAUAAUUAAUGUGGGGGCAGGUAUCGCAGGCACAUGUAGCCACCCCGCGUUUGCUCCACAACCGACACGGCUGAUCAAGUAGUGUACUACUAUGGUCCAAUUCUUUUGGCCAAUUCUCCCCGAAUCUCAAGAAUCGGACCUCCCUUAGAUUCUCCGAGAAUCUUGAACCCAUUUUUUAAUCUUGCUGCAUCAAGGCUUGAAUACCGAGGCGUGCACACCAUUGCAUGGGAAGCCUGGCCGCUGUGGUCAAGCAGGCUCUGAAUCAAUCUUAAGAGUGGAGAUCGUACGAUGUAGCACCAUGACGAGUGGUAGUACACCCUGCAUUUCUGCUGGUUUAGUCAUAUACAGGCCAUGCGGUCUUCAAAGCAACAUCGACUGGAAGCAUCAGAGCACCGUGAAACAGAACUGAGCCUUGCUGCUUCACCUGAUCUAUGUUUGUCACUGAGUGCUAUAAACUGGUGUUGAAUCAAAAUUGGCGACUCAGAAUUUUAGCAAGAAAAAAAUGUUGUUGUUUUUAUGAAGAAAAUGCCAAGGUAUGGCCUCGAGUCUCUCCUCCAUUUGAGCCUGAAACACGUGAGGAACGAAGAAGAGGAAAUGGACGAAAAUAUAAAUCCCACCCACUCACCAUGUUCGUGCGUACCCGUGGUUACUUGGAUGCCUUAAAAACAUGGACACUUCAAAUAUGUUGCAUGGAACCUUGAGUUCACCUCAAACAUUUGACAUUGCACCUAAAAAUCAUCCAGGGAGGCAUUUUGAUGGUGCGACAUGAAGUGGUUGAACUCAUAAUGAUACUAGACCACUCUUGGCCUGCAUGGAUUGCCGUGAAGGUCCACAUGUAUAUUGGACAGUUCUCAAGCAUUUCCUUCAUUUGGGCCUGAAAUAUGGUGACAAAGAAGAAGAAAUAAUCCAAAAUAUAAGCCCACCCACUCACCAGCGCAUUUCAACCAGGAGGUGCUCACAUAUGUUAAAAAAUGAUCUCUCCCCAACCCACUCCCAUAUUCGACAAAAGCCACUUCACAAUACACCUAAAAAUUAUUGAGAGCGGCAUUUUGAUGAUGCGAUGCAAAGCAUUGAAAGGAGCUCAGGAUGAUGCCUAAACACUUGAUGGAAAAUCUCGUUGGAUCAUCUCGAACAACGUCCACCAAUUGUUUUGUGAUACUNNNNNNNNNNNNNNNNNNNNNNNNNNNNNNNNNNNNNNNNNNNNNNNNNNNNNNNNNNNNNNNNNNNNNNNNNNNNNNNNNNNNNNNNNNNNNNNNNNNNNNNNNNNNNNNNNNNNNNNNNNNNNNNNNNNNNNNNNNNNNNNNNNNNNNNNNNNNNNNNNNNNNNNNNNNNNNNNNNNNNNNNNNNNNNNNNNNNNNNNNNNNNNNNNNNNNNNNNNNNNNNNNNNNNNNNNNNNNNNNNNNNNNNNNNNNNNNNNNNNNNNNNNNNNNNNNNNNNNNNNNNNNNNNNNNNNNNNNNNNNNNNNNNNNNNNNNNNNNNNNNNNNNNNNNNNNNNNNNNNNNNNNNNNNNNNNNNNNNNNNGCCAGCAUUUAGUAAAGCUUGAUGCCACCAAGAGUUCCCCCAAACACUUCACAUUGCCAUUUUAAUGCCUCGUGAAGUGCUUGUAGGGAACCCAUGGUAAGACCAAACAUACUUCAUGUUGAACAUCUCUUCUAAUUCUUUCCUGGCAUUGAGUAAAGCUUGGCAUCGCCAAGAGUUCGCCCAAACACUUCACAGUGGCAUUUGGAACAAUGCCUCAUGAAGUGCUUGCAGGGAACCCAUGGUAAUACCAAACAUGUCUUGCAUCGAUCAACUCUUUGGGUUCUUGGGCAGCAUUGAGUAAAGCUUGGUGGCACCAAGAGUUCCCCCAACCACUUCACAAUGGUGCAUUUUGAAAUAAUGCCUCGUGAAGUGCUUGCAACGAACCCACAGUAAGACCGAACAUGGUUCACCAUUAGCAAAACUCUUGUGGUUUGCGCUGGUAUCUAGUAAAUGCUUGAUUGCACCUAGAGUUCCCCCAAACACUUCACAUAUAUAAGCUCUCAGAAAGGUGCUUCGUGAAGUGUUUGAAGGGAACUCCUGGUAAUACCAAACGUGAUUUGGAGUACAUCUCUUGUGGUUUAUGACCUGCAAUAUCUGCGAAGUGCUUGGUUGCACAAAGAGUUCCCCCAAAUACUUCACAUGAUACCUUAAAAAGGUGCUUUGUAAAGUGCUUGAAGAGACCUUCCAGUAAAACGAAAUGUGGUUUUCAGCUCAUUGGUGCAUCUAUCUUAUGGUAUGUGGCCAAAUGCUUAGUAACACCGAGAGUUCCCCCAAACACUUCAGGGAAGUUCUUGCAAAGACGCAUCCUGAAGUGCUUGAGGAGAACUCCUGAUGAGGCCAAGCUCGAUUAAUCCCAACACACCCAUCAUAAUGUAUAUGGACCUACCACUAUAAUUUCUAAAGCACAAACACUCUCAAAUCCUAUCGAUGUUGUUGGUUGCCACCCAGAGUUCCCCCAAACACUUCAGUAUACAAUGUUGUAUAUCCCGGCAUUGCACACUAAUAAAACAGUGCCACUGCAAGCUUUAGUUAGCUAGCAACUGAAGUGAUUUGAGGAGAACUCCAGGUGACAACCAACCAAAGUAGCUAGCUAGAACUCUCGUUCAUCUACCAUGGACCACACUUCACUGAUUUGUUUUAUCCGCACCUGCUGAUGAGCGUGUAGGCGGCUGCUAUUUAUAAGUCUAAACGAAAAACUGAAGAGCUAGUAGCAAGUCCGUUGCUUCCUGUGGACUGCGGCGCGCAAUGGAGAAAAUACAUGGUCUUGGUGCUGGAUCAAUGAACCUGGCAAUGCACCUAGCCGUGACGCAGCCUAGGUUAGAACGAACUAGCUGCUAGAGCCAAGGGAAUCUGGUGAGAUGUGCCUUUUCUGCAUCGUGCAAAGGCUCAUGGAGUAAAGAUGCGUGUCCAGCCUGCAAAUUCCUUAUCUCCUGCAGCUAGCUAGCUAGAGAUCAGCGUCGUCGGCGACAUCGCUUGGUUUCUGUCCACGGACAUUUUUGUCAGCACAUCCAUGCAAAGGGGGGUGCAGUGCAGGGAUCACGUUAUAAUUAUGAGUAUCAUCCCAUGCAACUGGUGCAAAGCUUGAGCCGACCAGUUGCACGGACAGUGGCCACUGGCCAGGCACGCGAGCUAGGAUCCCCGGGAAUCUUUGCUAAUAGAGACUAAUAAUUUGGUGCAGGAAAAUGCUCCAUACUGUACAUCUCAUGGGUGGAUGGUUUCGUUGCAUUAGUGCUGUUGUGCAGUAUCUUGAAUCUUGGUAAAAUCAGUAGCUCAUAACGAAGUUAGGUAGAAGAAAAUUAAAGUGAUCAGUAAUGACUUAGGCGGAAGAAGAGAAAAUGUAGUAUUUUUUUCGUGUGAAUAUUUCACACUGCUAUGCAGCAGAGGCCAAGGGUAAUAUACGCCACUAAUUAAUUCGAAAUCACAGUGCUUACGUACAGUUUAUUAAACAGUGGGUUCAGUACCUUGAUGACCUACUAAUGUACUGCACUAGUUGAAAAACAUUUCACAGGCAGUCACCACCGGACUCGCGGGCUAUGCCUACGGCCCAGGGCCGUCGGCAUAGGUCCAUUGCCGUCGGCAUAGAUCUAUGCCUACGGCUGCCGUCGGCAUAUCCCCGUCGGCGUAGAUCACGUCAGCGUAGAUGUGUCAGACCGUCGGCGUAGUAUAGCCGUCGGCAUAGGAGCAUAUGCCGACGGCCGUGGGAGAGCCGUCGGCAUAGUUUAGCCGUCGGCGUUGUUUUCCGUCUGACGGCAACGGACGGCGUCGUCAACAGCGCUGGCGAUUCAGGGGACGACACGUGGCGCAUGUAUGCCGACGGCUCGGUCCCCCGGCUUCUCCUGGCGGCAGGGCUAUGCCUACGGCAAAGCCGUCGACAUAGAUUUCCAUCUAUGCCGACAGCUUUGCCGUAGGCAUAUCUCUGCCAUGUGGCAGCUCCUGGUAAACAGAGGUCGUCGGCAUAGGUCUGAAUAGCCCGACGGCUUUAUUACGCCGACGGCCUGGAUAUGGCUGUCGGCAUAGCACAGACAAGGCUGACGGGGGCCGUCGGCAUAGAUAUGGCCGUCGGCACAGGGCCCUGUUCCGGUAGUGAGUUUACUAGUACUUUACACAGACAGUGGCUUUGAAAUGUGCCAUGAAUCAAUCUGUUUAGACAAAGUAGAGAGCAUGGAGAUGAUCUUGUAUUGGUCACUUGUGAACUGAUCGUGGGAUCAUCAUGCGCAGAAACGAAGUAGUAUUUCGCUUACCUUUCGAGUGUCGGUAGCCGGUGGAACGUGCAGGUUCUUCAGUGUUUAUUGAACUAAAAGCCAGCUAGUUGCUGGCCUUGUUAUGUACACAAAUAAUGAUAGCAGGACACAUUUGGUAACCCCGAUGCCGGAGCACAUGGACCUAAUCUUGUCUUUUCCAUCAGAAAACAUGUCUGCUCUGGUCCAAUGGGCUGGCUAGUUGUCUCAUUGUGCAUGCGUGACUGUAUAACAUAUGGGCAAGCGGCAUAAAGAGAGGAGAAAGAAAAAGGCAACACACUAUGUGAGGUGCCACCACAGGAUCGAUAACUAAUAUUCCCAAAUCUCAAAGGCCAUUCAACAGAGCGAAAAGCUAGCUACAAUAAGAUGUCCAGGUUCAAUGCACUUCGAUCGAUCCACAUCGUCCAAAGUUGAGAGACCCAGAUGAUGGCCAGUUUCAAAGCAGGUGAGACGAUCAGAGCUGCUGAGCCUCUGAAAGGGCAUGGGGAUGGAGAUGCUUGGGGUAUAAGUAUCUUUGCAGAAGCGAGAGGAUGAUGGCGACGCGGCGGGAGUUUUUCUUCUUCUUCCUCAUGUGGUAGGAGGAAGAAGGGAGGCCGUCGGUGUCUCGCAUGGAGUUCCCCCAUUCACACUUCUUGGCUGUCUAGUUCGUCGUCGUUCGUUCAGGUAGGGAGGGUUUUGUUCCUGUAACUCCCUUGUGUUGUUCCUCGUGGAGAUGGGGAUGUGUCUUCUCCUUCUUUUCUUGCUGCGUGCUGUGGCUGCAGCUUGAUUGUAUGUUUGUUGUAUCAGGGCACCUCGUCUCUUUUGGCCACCUCGUGUGUUUCUUUCGCCAUGUGUUUUGUUCGGAUGACCACCGGAAAUGCAUGCAUGCGUGUGUUUUUCUCGAUGCGAUGAUGAUUGUAGUUGCGGUGUCUAAACUACAGAGGGUCACAGGAAUGUACUCUGAUUCACAGCAUUGUCGAUGACAUUCAGGCUGCAAUGGCAAAUGCUGUGAUUCACAUGACACGAUUAGCUCAGCACCAACUCGAUCACCCAUCCCACAGCAAACACGACCAGCUCAAACCAACAAGGCAUGCCAUAAGCUAAUUCCGUUCGUUCCAGGGAAGUUCAGCUAACCAGGCUACUACAGUGUUUCAGCAGAAUUUCUUCUCCGGC
RNAcentral lists this long non-coding RNA (74245 nucleotides) under Triticum aestivum (bread wheat). RNAcentral's name for it is "long non-coding RNA (TAES_LNC023250)". Lineage: Eukaryota; Viridiplantae; Streptophyta; Magnoliopsida; Poales; Poaceae. The record is from RNAcentral.